CAUGUGAAAAUUACGUUUCUUCUGUGUUUAUUUGUAUAACCGUGGAACUAAAGUUUCUCAAGUUUUGUUAUUUGUUUUAUAAGAAGUGAAUAGUAUAAAAGCUAAAUGUAUGAGAGUAUUUUAUUAUUUCUUUCCUCCGCUUUUUUGUAAUCUACUUUAAAAAGUUUGAGUUUCGAUCGAAAAUGAAGUUACGAUAAAUGAAACAGCAAAAAUGGACAUUUAUGAUUGAAAAUUUCUUUUACUCUUUUUCACUUUCGAUAAGACAAACAUACCUUAGACGGUAGCAAAGUUAAUUACAAAAGAGGAAGAAAUUGAAAAAAUAAUAAAAAUUUAACUAUAAUUUUUUUAUCCUUUAUAUGCUAGUGUAAAAUUGUUUGAUGAAAUAAUAAAAAACAAAAUAACUACAAACAAACAAUGAUAAUAAAAUUAUACUUGAACUUGAGUUCAACUUAAAGUUCUUUUUAAUCUAAAAACUAAAAACAAGUAAAAAAACAAGGCCAAUUUGCAUCAAAAAUCCACUAGUUUUGCGCUUUUGCGAAAAUGGGCCACAUUUUUUAGUUUUGCAGAUUCGGGCUGAAUUUUUCAGCAAACUGACUAAAAUACCCUUUGUAUCUUUUUUUCUCUCCUCUUUUUUUUUUUCUCUCGUUCUUUUUUUCUUUCUCUUCCCAGAGAGCGGCGGAGGCGGAGGCGGAGGCGGAGGCGGAGGCGGAGGCGGAGGCGGAGGCGGCCCGCUUCGGUUUUGUCCGGCGCAUUCUUACCCUCGCCGGCGUACCCCCCACCUUCCUCGCCUCCAAUCUUGCCGAGGCCACGCUGUGACUUUUUUUUUUCCCCUCUCCGACCCUCCUCCACUGCCUCCGACGACGACGCUUAUCUUACCCUCUCUCGCCCUUCUCGCCCUUUCCCUCUCCCUGCUCCUUCGCCUCCUCCGCCGCCUCCGACGACGACGCCUCUCCGCCGACAUCGGCACCACGAAGGUUGCUACGGCACUGCAGCCUCGGACCGGGGGGUCUUUAGUAGCGUCGCCGCCGGCGCCGUGGUCGUUAGCGGAAAGAUGUAACAAAAAAAAUUACAGAAGAAGAAAAAAGAAAAGAAUAAAGACAAAAAAUUAUAUAAAAAGGAAGAAGAAAAUGAAAUUGCACUGUUAAAAUAAGAUUACACUGUUUUAAAAUAAAUUUGUACUAAUGAAAAUUACACUACUUGAUAUAGAAAUUACACUUUUUAAGAAUGGAUUUUACACUCUUUAGGCUAACGUUGCACUAUUUAGGAGAAUUUUGCACCAUUUUUUUUUCUUUUCUUUUUCUCUCUCUUUUUUUCUUCUUCUUCCGCUGUUGCCUCCCGCCCACCCGGGCCGAGGUCUCCUCUAGCUUCGAGGUUGCGUACGACCUCACCCCGCUUCGCAAUGUCCCGCCGCAUCCUCACGUGCUCCCGCUGUGAGAUCAGGAGCGCCUCCCCGUGCGAGGCUGAUUGUGCCGCCACUCUCCUGUAGACCUUGCCGCGGAGGUCGCCAGCAACGAUGGCGGCCUCGCCGUCCACGGCGACGGCAACAAAGUACCCGCUGGCGGGCUUCGGGGCCGCCAACUGUCCCGGAAGUCGCCGAGCUCGAGGAGGCUCCUGACAACAAGGGACCUCGCCCCGGGCGGGAGGCAGCACCGGAAGAAGAAGAAAAAGAGAAAGAGAAAGAGAAAAACAAAAGGAAAAGAAAUUGUGCAAAAUUCUUCUAAAUAAUGCAACGUUGGCUUAAAGGGUGUAAAAUUCAUUCCAAAAUAGUAUAAUUUUUAUAUCAAAUAGUGCAAUUUUCAUUAAAACAGUGCAAAUUUGUUUUAAAACAGUGUAAUCUUAUUUUAACAGUGCAAUUUCAUCUUCUUCUUCCUUGUUAUAUAAUUUUUUGUCAUCAUUUUUUUCUUCUUCCUUCUUUUAUAAUUUUUUUUGUCGCGUCUCUCCGCCAACGGCCACGGCGCCGGCGACGAUGUUGCUAAAGACCCCCCGCUCUGAGGCUGCGGCGCCGCAGCGACCUUUACGGCACCGAUGUCAGCAGAGAGGCGUCGUCGUCGGCGGCAGUGGAGGAAGCGAAGGAGCAGGGAAAGGGAAAGGGCGAAAAGGGUGAGAGAGGGUGAGAUAGGCGUCGUCGUCGGAGGCAGUGGAGGAGGGUCGGAGAGGGGGAAAAAAAAAAAGUCGCAGCGCUGCCUCGGCAGGGUCGAAAGCAAGGAAGGUGGGGGUUGCACGGGUGAGGGUAAGCAUGCGCCGGACAAAACCGAAGCGGGCCGGCCGCCUUCGCCCCCGCCUCGGCUGCUCUCUGGGAAGAGAAAGAAAAAAAAAACGAAAGAAAAAAAAAAAAGGAGAGAGAAAAAUAUACAAGAGUAUUUUGAUCAGUUUACUGAAAAUCCGGCCCGAAUAUGCAAAAUCGAAAAAGGUGGCUCACUUUUGCAAAAGCGCAAAACUAGUGAAUUUUUUAUGCAAAUUGGCAAAAAAAAAUCCUAAAGUUAUUUUAAUUUAAAACUAAAAAAACACUAUUCUAAAAUAGGACAUAGACAUACAUCUUUAGUAUCUUACACCUUUUUAUCUUAAGUCUAGAAAAAUUAUUGGAUUUUUAGUUAAAAAAAAAAAAAAAACUUGACAAGACAAGGGCCCAUUCUUAACCGUUGGAUGAGGGAGUUUAAUAAAUUUCCAACCCUAUUUAUUUAAAUAAUUUAAAGUUUAGAAAUGUAAAUGCGAAGUGGUAUUAUGAGGGUCUCCGUACAUUUUUCACCAUAAAACCCGCAAAUUCUAGGGCUGUCGACCCCUCUUCUAGGGUUUACGCCGCGCUUGUUUCCGAACAUCGAACCACCGCAACAAUGGUGAUCCCUCCUCUCUCUCCCCUUCUUCUUCUUCCUCCUCUUCUUCUUUAUCUUGUUCUAAUCUUAUCUUGGAUUUCCCCUCCGUAGCCGUCCCACAAGACCUUCAAGAUCAAGAAGAAGCUGGCGAAGAAGAUGCGUCAAAAUCGCCCUAUCCCUCACUGGAUCCGCAUGCGCACCGAUAACACCAUCAGGUAAUUUUUGGGUCUCUCUCUCUCUCUCCCUCUCUCUCUCUAUGAGUGUUUUGAUCUCUAAUUGGCAUGAUUUUGGUGUUUCUCAGGUAUAAUGCGAAGCGGAGGCACUGGCGACGCACGAAGUUAGGGUUUUGAGGUCUCCAUGGGUGAUUCUUCCCUCUUUCCUAUGCGUAAAACUAGGGUUUUUGGUUGCUUUGACUAGCUUCUUGAAUCCAAGUGUCUAAAUCUGGUACCAAGGAAAAGUUGAAUUUAAAAUAUUCUGAUGACAAUGAGCGCAGGAUGUAUGAUGCUAUUUUGAGUUAUUAUUUGGAUCUAAAGAAAUUAAUCUUUCUUUCGAAAUGAAUUGGUGAUCUUGUGAGCUUUAUAUGUGAUAUUAUGUCUUUCUGGAAGUAUAUAUUGCAUAUAUAUAGUAACUUGUCUACUGCGCGAGCACCACUUAAUUCCUCUUUGUGAACUCUGAACCUGUUUGAUUCUGGGAUUUUGCGUGCAAUGGGUUGCUUUAACAGCAAUAGCUGAGUACGUAAUCCUUUCUUAAACGAUAGUAUCAACAUUAUGGUGUAUUUUAUUAUCAAGAGGCGUGCUUAGAAUGCAAUAUCAGAUUAGGUCAUCAACCUUGUAAGAUAUAGUUGGUCUUAGCAGUUAGUUUAGUAUUGCUCAUACGAAACUGUAAGUCAUAAUUGUGUAUCUUAUUUACGUAAGAGACAAUGAAGAUCAAAAGGCCCAUGAGGAAGCUGAUACGGGAUUGAUUUGUAUCAAAGAUUAUUUUGAAUUGGUCAGUUUGCCAACUGAUGAUGGAUUGGCUGUGAAAAGAUAUGAAAUGACAAAUGUUGGCUAAUUAUAUGGUCUAGCAACUAUAUUUCCAUGUUGGGAGCAUGUGAAAAGGUUACAUAAACUGGAGGAAUUAUUGCAUGCGUAGUUGUGUAUGCAAUGUGGUCUUUAACACUUAGGGUUUGUUUGGUUCAAGGGUGGAAUUGGAAUGGAUAAUGUAAUGGGAAUGAAUUAGAAUGGUAAUUGGAAUGGUCCACUCCCCCAAGACGUUUGGUUCAUUUGUGGAUUGAAAAUUGGAAUGAGUUAUUCCCAUUCCAUUGUUUGGUUCAUACAAAUUAAAAAAUUAUAGAAUACCAUAAUACUAAUUUAACUCUCAAAUAUAAUUUUAUAUUAUUUAAAAUUUAUGAAAAAUUUAAUACUAUUCUCUAAUGAGUUUUCCAAAAAAAAAUAUCAAAUUUAUUUUUAAAAACUUUUAUGCAAGAAAAAAAUUAUAAAAAUCUAGGAAUACUAAUAAUUUCCCCUUAAAGCAUAAUUUCCCCUUCAAAUUUAGUAGUUUACCCAAAAAAUAAUAAUAAUUAAAAAAAGUGGACAUGGAAAAGUAAAUGGAAAUUACAUAACCAUGCGCACUUCACAACAAGGUCACAAAAAUCUACCAACAAAAGCACGAUCUUUUCGAUUUACAUUAACAAUUCACACUGUAAUCAAACGGAUCCACCACUCGAAACCCUCCUAGAAACGCUAAUCGCACCAAGAAGUAAGUAGAUCGGAGACGAAUCUACAAGCAAUGGCGAGUAAAGAUCCAAUCGGAUCGGGCCUCACCUCGUCGCCACGCCGUUGCACCAACUCGCCGUGCCGCCCCGUCUUGCUGUCGUGCUGCCGAGUCUCGCCGCCACGCUGCCCUAUGCCGCCGCCGUGCCGCGUUCGCAGUACCGCUAAGGUUAGGGAUAGGGUUUUGAGAGGGGUAAGAGGGGUGAGGGAUAGGGUUUUUUUUUUUUGUUUGAUGAGAGGGGUGAGAGAUUGUAUACAGAGAGAGGAGGGUGAGAUGGUCUCAUGGGCUUCAGGACUUGGUGGGCUUCGGGAAUGAAAUCUCAAUUCGGGCUUGGAGUCCGGAAUCAAGUUGAAUGCUGAUGGGCCAUUCCCAUUCCAGUCCGGAAUAGGAAUCCCAAACCGAUUCCUGUGAACCAAACAAAAUUAAUCGGAUUUGAUCAAAUCGAUUCCCAUUCCAUAUCCCAAAUAAAUGAACUAAACAAGCCGUUUGGUUCAAGGGUGGAAUUGGAAUGGAUAAUGGAAUAGGAAUGAAUUGGAAUGGUAAUUGGAAUGGCCCACUCCCUCAAGACGUUUGGUUUAUUUGUGGAUUGGGAAUUGGAAUGAGUUAUUCACAUUUCAUUGUUUGGUUGGUAUAAACUAAAAAUAUUAUAGGAUACUAUAAUACUAAUUUUACUCUCAAAUAUAAAUUUAUAUUAUUUAAAAUUUAUGAAAAAUAUAAUACUAUUCUCUAAUAAGUUUUCCAAAAAAAAUAUCAAAUUUAUUUUUAAAAACUUUUAUUGAUGUGGGUUAGGGAUAGGGUUUUGAGAGAGGAUAGGUUUUUUUUUUUUGAUGAGAAAGGGGUGAAGAGAAGGAGGGUGAGAUGGUCACAUGGGCUUCGAGAACUUAGUGGGCUUCCGGAAUGAAAUCUCAAUCCGGGCUAGAAGACCGGAAUCAAGUUGAAGGCUAAUGGGCCAUUCUCAUUCCAGUCCGGAAUAGGAAUCCUAAACCGAUUCAUGCGAACCAAACAAAAUUAACAGGAUUUGAUCAAACCGAUUCCCAUUCCAUACCCAAAUUGGAUGAACCAAACAAGCCCUUAAAGGCUAGAGGCUCCAAAAGCUAGGUAUAGACCGAUAGAUGUGAUCUAUAGCUUCUAAAGUACACUAUGUCUGAUACAGUAUAAUUAUGUACAAACUUAUUAAUUAGGUAUCAAGUAGUUCUCAAUGCUGUUAAAAGAAAGUCCUUUGUUUGCCGAACGAAAAAAAGUUAUUAAAAAAUUAUAAUUUUACAAAAUAGGCCUUUUAAGAGCUGUAGAUUACAUCCAACAGUUUAGCUGUGGAUUUCAACACGUCUAGCUGUGAGCUUUCGAUAUGCUUGCUAUAUGCAAUAAUUUCGCCAAAAUCAGAGUCGAGGUUGGGACCUCGUUGUAUGUUGAAUUUGCUACCUGAUAUUUCCAAAUUUAUUUGUUCACUACUUUGUCCAAAUUUCUAGAUGGAUAGUUGAAAAUGAUCGGAGUUGAACCGAUAAUGUACACCUAAUUAUAGAUUUAUAGGUACAACCUCAUAGAUGUAUACAGUUGGUUAUUUCCUUUUCAUAGAAUGAUGAUUUGUUACAAACUUCCACGAAGAGAUGAAAAGUCUAUGUAAGGACGUAAGAUUAAGAGCAAAUUUACUUGCACUGCCCCAUUAGAAUCCUUUGGCUUCUCAGAUGAGGCUUAUGAUCCAAUUUAGCAAAUUAUUGAAGUAUUUGGUGUGAAUAAAAGAGGCAUUCUUCUGCAGAUUUUAGACGACAAUAUCCAUUUAGGAAGGUUUUUGGAAGAAUUCUUUAUAGUACGAAGAUUAGUAUGAAUGCUGUGGUGGACGAUCUUCGUUUUGAAUGCGCUUCGGCCUUGGCCUCAUAGAUAUCUAUGAGAUUCAAGCUCCCUUACAUCCAUGCGGGUUAUUUUCCGCCUAGUAUCUCAGAAAUGGAUUAUUUAUGUUGCAUGUUUUCUGAUUAGGUAUAAAUAUGAGCUCUAACUGAGAUUUCGAGGUUAUCAAGAAAAAACUUCAUAUCUGUUUAGAUGAUAUCUUAUAAGAUGGAGUGAUAAUUAUUUGUUGGAUAGAGAACUGCCACUGUAUAGGAAACUUCAUUUUUAACAGUUUGUUGUCAUCUCGUGCCAUCUUGCUAACAUGAGUGAAACGAACACAUACACCCUAGUUUUGGAUUGUCGAGGAUGGUUGUUAUGAAGUUACGAGUAGCUUUCUGAAAGUUUAUGAUCGGUCGCUUGCAUUUUUUUCUCACAUACAUGUAACAAGAAGAGUAUUGGUGCAGAAAUUUUAGCAAUAGAAACAUAGGGAUAGAAUCGUCGCCAUUACGGUGAUGAAUGUAGGAUAGUCAACUGAACUUUAAUCAUGGAGCCGGUGCUUCACGAGGAAUUCGAACCAGCUAAUAGAAACUUAGCAAAAUCAAUAAUGAUGUUUCCUUAAUUGACACAUAUCAUGCAUACUCAAACUAAACACGAUCAUUGAUGAUGUUUCCUUAAUUAACACAUAUUAUGCAUGGUCAAAUAUGCGGGGAUUCUAGUACUUCCUGAAUGUAAUUUUCGUAUUCUUUGCUCGAUGGUUGUUUUAAUACUUGAAUUUAGGUCAGAAUGCUGAAAAGAGAAGUAAAAAUGAUAAAUGUACAGCACGAUUUGAUAUUUUUGGGAAGUGUGUGAGUUUGAAGUAUAAUGGUAUCAUGCCCUUAGACCGCCAUUGGGUCGGCUUGGGCACGAGCCACAGACCAAUCUUGAUGAAUUAUACAUGAUAUAGAUACAUGAAGUAUCAAAAUGUAAUACUACUAAAGCUAAACGAAACCAUUACAACUUUCAUUUUUUAAAGUUUACCACACUUAUUUGUAUCCAAAAUAGUACACUUUUUCUGGGUACACAUUAGACAUCUUGCUUGGUCUAACUUCUUUUCGACACCCUUACCACGGUCUCGUGCCUCUUUGCGGGAAGUGGUAUUCAUUUGGUCCAGGAAGCAUAAGUAGAUAAUGAUAAAUAACGACAUCUAUUGCUACUAUAGAUAUGGAGGAAUUGAAAUACCACUACAAUGCGUCAAUAAGUACAAUAUGCUAUGAUAGUUGUUAUGUCGUUAGCCUACACAUAAAUCGCAUUUCAUUCUCCAACUUUAGCCUAUACAUAAAUCAUAUUUCAUUUUCCAACUUUAACACCUCAUGGAGAGUAGAUUGUUCUCCAACUCCUCUUCAAUCAGUAGGUAAAUGGGGUUGAUUGCUCAUGGAGAAUAAAUUGUUUUCGAACUUCUCUUUAAUCAUUAGGUACAUGGAGGGGUUGAUUGCUCACGAAGAAUAGAUUGUGUUUUUGAACUUCUCUUCAAUCAUUAGGUAAAUGGGGGGUUGAUUGCUCGUGGAGAAUAGAUUGUUUUCGAACUUCUCUUCAAUCAUUAGGUAAAUGGGGUUAAUUUUUCUCGGACUCUUCCAAAUAUCUCAUACCUUGACACUUUUGAAAGGUCGUACAUUUUACACCAUUUCACUCUAAGUUCAUAACUUUUAGGAUUAUCGAUAUUGUCUAACAUACAAAUACUUUCUCUAGUUCAAGUUUAUCGAGAGUUCACUUGCCACUAAGGACAUGUUUGGUUCAUGAUUGAAAUAGAAGUGGGAAAUUAAAUUAGAUUGCUUUGGAAUGGAAAAUGAAAUGACGAAUCAUCCAAAAAUGUUUGGUUCAUUAUUGGAAUGGAAAUCAGAAUGAAAAUUUAAAAUUUUUGAGAGAGGGUUUUGAUUAAGAGAGAGGAAAGUGAUAAAGAAAGAGGAGGUAGGUGUUGAUGAAAGAGGAUUUUGAAUAGUAUACUUUGGAAUGAGCUAUUCCGGAAUUCAAAGCCGGAUUGGAUCAUAAAUGAAUUCAGCCAUUCCCACUCCGGAGUGGAAUGGGAAUCGGAAUCCGAUUCCUAUAAACAAACGGCAACUAUCGGAAUCAAUGAAUUCCAUUCCGAUUCCAUAAUCUAAAAUAGAUGAACCAAACAUGCCUUGAGUUCUUGCCUUAGAAAACCUAGAUAACAUAUCACUCUUGUUUUCUAUGUUCAAGAUUCACAUGCAUGUCACCCAUUUUACUCUUUUGUCGUACAUACGGAUUUCAGUUAGAAAUCUUUGUUUUUUUUUAGGUCAAAUGCUAAGAUGACAUCUUGACACAUAUGAUCUACUAGUAUGCAAUUAGAAUAUAUUUACCUUACAUUGUACAUAUGAUACAUGUAUAAAAUUAAAGAAAUGUUAGACUAAGGAGUGAUCAAAUUGUUAGAACAAAUACCGUAACGAAAAUUUGAUUGUGAUUAAAAUCUAACUAAUUUAUAAUAAAGAUAAAUAAAUCAACAUACAGAUGACGCAAAUAUUCCAAUAAAGAUUUGAUCUUAUCCGGAAGCGUGCGAGGCACUGCCCUAAGACGUAUUUCCGUCCUUACAUGCGGAAUUAAUCGAAAAUAACACCCCAAGGUACGAUCGAAAUUCCUCCUCCUGCGAGCACGAUCAUAAAGAAAGUUGACGAAGAUUCUCAAAGUGGAUAAAAAAUGGAAUAUUCAAAAAUAAAGAUUAAUCAAUUAUCUAAUAUCUUUUGUACCUAUUGUUUUAUUCUAUCUGAAAACAGAGGAGGAAAAGAGAGGAUCUUCUGUACCUACUGUUUUAUUCUAUCUGAAAACAGAGAGAGGAAAAGAGAAACGGGAUUUAACGCCCUUUUUCGUUACGAGAAAAAGGCGUAUUCCGCGCAACGGAAUGAGAUUCCGUUGAGGCAAGAAACGGACCAAGAAACUGAACGAGAAAAAUAUCCCGUUAAUUUCUUUCUCAUUAAAAAACAUAAUAAAAUAAUUAAAUAAAAUAAAAUAAAUAAAAUAAUAAAUAAUAAAACAUCAAAGUUCAAAUAAAAUAAAUUCAAACUCAAAAUUUUGAGUUUUCACCAACACAAAUAUAUUUCGGUGAUAUUUUCAAUCUUUGCUUGAUUCUUUGCAAAUUCACCAAGGAAAUCCUAUCAUCUUCUAGCAAGCAAAGUGUAGAUGAGAAGGGCUUCUUCUCUUUUCUAGAGCUUUUUCUUGAAGCUCCCGACUUUCCCUAAUCCAAAUACGGAUCUGUAAGUUCCAACAAAGAGGGAAUCAGACGCUUGAUUGUUUAAUCCAUCGCACGAGGGAUGCUCUCGGGUUGAGCGCCCGACUGGUGUAUCAGACAUCUCCAAUUUUCUAAUUUAGUUUUAAAAAUUUUAGAUUUUUAGUUUAAAAUUAAAAUAAUUGCACGAUUAGUUUCCACACUUCUCACUUUUUUCACUUUGGCUCUUUAAAAAAUCAGAUAGGUGCUUGUCUCGUGCUCAUCUUGCGCUAAUGUGGUGAAUUUUGUGAAUUUAAUGGCCCUUUUAACGGCGGGGAUUUAACUGCAAAGAAAUAAAAAGGUGGGGGGCUUGAUUGCAAGAAUAAAAAAGUGUAGGACUUAAGUAAAAAAAAGUGAGACGGUGUGAGACUAGUAAUACAAUUAAUUCAAAAUUUUUUUUACAUAAAAAGCACUUUUUCUUCUAAAUUAUGUUUUCUAUAUUUUUACAUCCAACUACACUUCCAAAUAGUGAUAUUUAGACUUACUAGCAUUUAAUAUCAGCAUGUCAAUCAUGCUUGGAGAAACAUUUAGUUAAAAUAAAAUUUCCUAAAUUGUUUGUUUUUUAUUAUAUAUUAACUCUCAAAGAUCUCUUAUAAUUAAAUAACUUAAAUUGCACUUGCAUAUUAUUUUGAUAUAAAAUAUUUGUUCUACUAUAAAACUUGUAAGUAUAAAAAUUUAACAUGUUUGAGAACAAUAUAAACUUAAAAAGGGAAAUUUGUAAAAAUAUGUAAAUAUAUAUAAAGACUCAUUCAACUAUAAAUUAUUUUGAAAUAAGAAUUGAACUUUUCUUUUUCAGUUGACCUCUAUCAAAUUUUAUUUAUUUUUAUUUAAUUUAAUUUUAUUUAAUUAUAUUGAUAAAUUUGUUAAAAGUUAAUAUCUCUAUUAGCUGUCGGUCAUUAUUAUUAUUAUUUUUUUUGCUAAAAUUUACUUAGAGAAAUGAAACUUUAAAAAAUUACUUGAUUAAUUUAGCAAAAUCUCUAAUAUAUUUAGGUAAAAUAUAGAAAACAAACUAAUUUAGAUAAAGUUUAAUUAAAAUGCUAUUUCAAAAAGAUGAAGUUGAGAGGUAUCCAUAUUAUUUUAUUUUUAUUUAUUAUUAGACUUAAAAUUUCUCGUUUUCAACAAAUGAAAUAAAUGUAAGUACACCAAUAAUACAAGUAGGUUGACAACUGAUUGAAUAAGAAUAAUGAUAAUAUUUAUAUUAUAUAUAAUACUAGUUAAUGGACCCGUGCGAUGCUGUGGGUAGUUAUUUUAAAAUUUAAUCUUUAAAAUUAGUUAUAAAAAUUAAUUUAGAAUGAUUAUGGAAUAUUACGGAUAAAUUAUGGAACAAUUUUAAAUAAAUGCAGCUAUCUUCUCCAACAUAGAAAAUAUAAGGAGCUCUCUCAACAAUAAGCUAUUUUAAAAUAAUUCUUCAAUUUUAUUAAAUAUUUUCUUAUCUUAUUCUCUUUUGUUUGCUUUUAUAUUACUAAUUUUGUAAUGUUAUUUAUGUUAUUUCUAAUCUUUUGAGGAAUACAAAUGAAAUUAUCUUAUGCUAAUUAUUCCAAACAUGGCCACUUGUCUAAGGAAUAAAUAGUGCAAUGAGCACAUUCAAAAUUUUUAGUAGUCAUGAUAGUCUUCCAUUCGUUAGUGAAAUGAGAAGAGAAAUCUUUUCUUGCAUUGUGUACUAAUGUUUUAGUUAGUAUAUUUCAUAUGCUUCUCGCAACUAUUUAAAAUUAAUAUCAACAGUCUAAACUAUUUAAUAAUUAUUUAUAUAUUUUUAAUUUUAUAAUAAAAAAAGACUAAAGUAGAUUGGAAAUUAAAAAAAAAUUUUAAUUUAAUGUUAAAUAGAAAAAUUUAAUGCUCAAAAGAAAAAAAAGAUCCACAUGCCUGCUUUCAAUUGUUUAGGUCGAGAGAUUAUUUUGGUAUAAAUCUUGAUAAUACUUUAGUAUUACAAAAAUAUUCCAGAGAUUUUUUUAUGCUUUUUUUUUGACUCAUUUAAUGUCAUAUGAAAAAUAAAGAAAAAGGCUUUUCUGUAUUAGCGAAUCCCUCUCCCAUGGCUGGACCCCACUCGCACCGCUGCAACGGGGCCCACCAUGCGNGCCCGCCCCUGCUGUAGUGUUCCUGAGUUUUGGAUAGGAUUGGCUUCAGUAUUAGUGACUGGUCGACAUCUCUGGAGAGUGUCGGACUGAGUCGGAGUCAAUUCUGCACGAAUUGGAUGCAGAAUUGGACUCGGCGCACUCAAAUAAGCAAAACUGGAGUUUUGCCAGAUUCGGGCGCCCAGAAUAUGGUUUAGGUCGCCCAGAACUGAGUGUUAAAUUUAACUGAAACUGGAGCCAAUUCGGAUCCUAUGUUCCGGGCGCCCAGAAGUAGGUCCGGAAAUUUUACAUCGUGAAUAUCGUUUGCUUCGACGCGUGGCAGGGUGGUAGGUGAGGUCCACCGGAGCCGUUUACGGGCGCAGCACACCGCGAGCGGAGAAUCCGAGGAGGAUGAUUUGUGCAUCCUGGAUGUUUCGGUCGCCCAGAACAUGGUUCCGGGCGCCCAGAAACGCCCGUUUCUGCAGGGACACUAGAUUGCAGCUGCUUUUCUUAGGACUUAUUUUAUCCUUCCAGCAGCCUAUAAAUAGAUGGAGGGUGACCCUGGUGAGCUCUUUUCAGUCCAUCUUCACAGUGAACCCUUGGAUUUCAUCUUCUACCCUCGAAUUUUCAUAAAUUGCUUCAAAAUCCACAACUCCAAGCUUGAUAGGUGAUGAUUCUGCAGUUCUUCAACGACGACCUUCAGUGUUUUGGCUCGUACGCGACGUAGGAAGGUCGGAUCGCGGCGAAACUUGGUUUGCUGGAUUCUAGACUUCCUGAGGAAUCCACGAAGUCCUAAAUUGCAUAAUUUGGUUGAGGUUAGCUUGGUCGAACAUAAGUUUUACUCUGCUGCUAUUGUAUUUGGACAGAAUUGUGGGUUUUUGAAUUGUUCUUGAUGCUAUCUUUGGAAGCAAUGGGGUGUUGGACCUAAGGCACAUCCUCCAUCAUCAUCCACUGGAUUUGGGACUGUCCUCACCUAAAUUGGAGACCUUUAGGUGAGUUUUGAUAUUGGAGUUAAGAUAAUUAAGCUUAAGUGCUGAAAUUUUGGUGAAUUGAUGAAUUUUGAUGGAUUUUGGGUGUAGAUCUUUCGAGUAACUUGGUUGCUGGUUGUGGGUGAUUGCAGCUGAGACUUCCUGCAAUUGUGGCAUUCUUGCUGCCAGGGAAUUGCUCUUGAGGUGGGUUUGCAUCGGAUUACUUCUAAGUAAUAAGUAGAUGUAUAGUCGACAUGUAUGUUUUGUUGUUUGGUCUACAAUGUAAUUAGAUUAAAUUCAGUGAUAAGCUGUGGCUGUAACCUAAAUUUAAGCAUGCUAAAUAAGUGACAUUUACACAUGUUGGACUUGAAAAAUUGACUUAGGAGAAAACCUGCGUUUUGACCCGUCAUAUGGUUAAACUACCAGAUUUAGUUCUAGGAGCCGUGGUUUGACUGUAUCGUUGCAGUAUUAGUGCGAUGGAUAUCUGGGGUAGUUUAGAAGGCAUUUACGCUCGUGCUGGGGUGCCGAGCUUAUUUUUCAGCAGAGUCUAGGCUGUUUCGGGUCGUUGGGUGCCGUCCGGGUUGGCGGUGGACCCAGAUUCUUGUUUUGGUUCCAGAUUGUGCUGAGGGCACGUGGGUUUGGUUUGUAGACCUGUUUUGACCCUGUUUACAUGACUUUGGCUAGUUGGAGCCUGUUUGAGCUCGACAGAAAUACGCUGCAUACUCGGUUGGGUAGCUCCCACAAGUGCCACUCCGGAGGCGGGCGCUGUGCUUUUGCAUUGGUGUCGUGCAUGCCAGUUAGACUUGCUCUCCACAGACUGAUUAGUGUGGAGGUAGCUGGAUAGUCUCAACUGGGCGGAGCAGGUGUGUUCACAGUCCCUGGGACUGGUAUGUUUACAGUCCCUAGAUAGAUUGGGUCAGGUUUGACACUGCUACAGUAGGUCGGCAUAGAACAUGAUGGUAUAAUAAAUGGUAGCUGUAGAUUUUUAUUCCAGCAUUUAUUACUACCUUUGUUCCCUUCUGUAGACUUAGUGGGUGGACCGAUGUUGUUGAAGGCGGCACCCACUGAGGACUACUUGUUUUACAGUAGUUCUCACGCCCUGUUGUUACCCCUUUCUUGCAGAGCCAUUGUCUUCGGCUGCUGCUGUUACUGAUCAGAAUCGAGGCAAGGGCGUCGCAAGUUAGAGCCCUACCUGACGAGCCGAGCUAGAGGUGCCCCUACAGCAGGUAAUUGUUUUUGUUGGAGUUCAUGUACAUACAUAUAUUUAACUCGCCAGUGCGAGUAGUUUUGUAUCUUGGAUUUGGCGUAUGUAUAUGGAACUCGGUUUGUUUUAUUUUUACUAAUUCUUCUAGCAGCUCUAUACUACUGUUUGUAGUAUUGUAUGAUUUACAGGUACAGCUAUCACUUCGUAUACAGAAAAAAUUUCUUUGUAUACGGCGGAUUAGUCGGCGCGCCCGGGGAACGAGUAACCCGGGGCGUGACACCUGAGACGGCGCCCGCCCUCGCACGCUCGCGUCUGCGCCAGCGCUGGAGCUUGCCCCCGCGCCCGCGCCCGGGCCUCCUCCCUUGGCCGGCGCUAGUGUCUGCGGCCACUCGCCCCUCGCGCCCUCGCCCGCGCCUCCGCCUCCCGCUGCCACAUGUGCAGUUAUUGAGGAAUAAUAAGUCUAUAUAGAAAUAGAUAGUCUCCAAAUACUUCAAAGCAUUUUUGGUUCUCUCCAAUAUCUCAUACUUCAAAGCAUUUUUGGGUGGAGAGUUUUUUUUUUUUUUUUUUUUUUUUUGCUCACUUCUCACGCAUACUUUUUUCACACUACUGAUUUUCUAGGUAAAGUUAUAUAUGCCAUAAAAUUUUACAAACUACCUUAGGUCACAUCAGAUGGAUGCUAAGUAUGUUUCACCUAACCAAACUUUAUACAUGUGAUAUUGGAGAAAUCAUGCUAAAUGUUUCUCAUCCUAAAUGAUCGAAUGCUAAGUAUGUUUUACCUGACCAAACUUCAUACCUUAGUUAGUUAAUUCGCAAAUUAUUCAUAAAUUAUUAAAAAUCUAAAUAAAACAAUCUGUAUGCAAUUUAUUUUCAAAAAAUCGGAAUAAAACGUGACUUUUUUUGUUAGAUUUAUUAUUCGCGAAUAAUUUGCGUAUGCCGAACUAUUCGGCCAAACAAAACGAGCAAAAUUUUUGGAUAAAAUUAAUUUCCGAAUUAUUUCCAAAUUAUUGCCGAUUUAUUUGCGAAUUAUUUGUGAAUUGUUGAAAAAUUUUAUGAACAUUCGGAAUAUAUGGAUUAUGAAAAAAAUAAAGAUAAAGACGACAAUAAACUGUGCUAUUUUUUUUUUACUUAAUUUAUUUUAUUUUAUAGCUUUUUAUUUUUAUAUUUUUAAGAAUUUAUAACUAUAUAUGCUAGUAACAUAAAUCUAGAGAAAAAAGUUUAGUUUAAUAGCCGAAUUUUUUAUUCCGAAUUUUUACUUAGUGAAAGCAUAGUUUCCGUAUAAAUCAUGUAUCCGAAUAAUUGGCGAACCCAUUUUUUAAACUGUAUUUUUCAACAAAUUUAAAAAUUGAGAUGCAAAUUUUAUUCUAAUUAUAUCCGUACCGAAUUUUUGCCGGAUUCAAAUUAACUAACUAUGCUUCAUAAGUGUGAUGUUGGAGAAAUCAAGCUUAAAUGAAUAGCUUCGUAGUACCUCAAUCCUCAAUUCCUUUUCAUUUCUAAAGCAAGUGGUUAGGACUUUGGUGGCUGAUAACUAAGGUUUUAAGUUCGAAGCCAAAUUGUUUCACAUUUUCAACCAAAUUUUUUUCAUAAAAAUAUUAAUGAAUCAGGUAGCAUGCUAUCAUUGCUUUAAUUUUAGCUAUUCCUGUCAAUUAACCUAGACGUUUUCUUCAGUUAAAAAUAUUUAUUAAUUAUAUGCUAUCUAUCUUAAAAAAAAAACCAAUCUAUUGUUUCUUUAGUUUAAUUAUUUGUAACUCACUGUACCUAGUGUAAAUGGCAAAGGCCCUGAUGGUUGGUAUUCGAGAUCCCAAGUUCGAAGCCUAGUUGUUUCACAUUUCCAGCCAAGUUUAUUUCGACCUCAAAAAGCAUCUUCAUAUAUUUUUUACCUUUAAAAAAUAUAAAAUAAACCUUAAACUAAGAGAACGAUUUUUUUUGAAUAUUUACAUUAAACAACUUUUGUAUGAUGCGAGUAAAUACGUAAAUUUGUGUGUAUACUUCUCAUAAUCUAUAAUUUAUAUUUGUUCUUUUAGAAAUACCUUAUAUUAUUUCCAUCUCUCAAGCUGUAUUUUAUAUCACAUAGCUUUUUUUUAAUGGCAUUUUUUCACACUGAAAAGGUGAAAAAAGAUAGAGACUCCUCAUCAUAAAUACAAGUCAAAAUAAUCGAAGUGGUAUAAACAAAAAUAUGAACUACUUACUAUAGGUACAGAGACAAAUUAUAACUUAAAACCCCAUCCAAUACAUAAUCCACCUNUACGCAUCCAAAUAUGAACUACUUACUAUAGGUACAGAGACAAAUUAUAACUUAAAACCCCAUCCAAUACAUAAUCCACCUAUAUAUACUAGUCUGAAUGAAUUGAUUUAUCAAACAUGUUGUGUACUUUAGUUUCUUACAUAAGAAAUAAAAAUCGCUAUUUCUAUAUUAAGUUCCUAUUUGGAUGCGUAAACAUCUUAUUUAGGAUAUUUAUUUGAUUUACUCGAUAAGCAUAUAGUAUUUAAUAGAUAGGUAGGUUGAUCAAAUGUCUACAAUAAAUAUCAUAUUCAAUAUUCAAAUAAUUUUAUUAAGAUGAAAUAUGUUUUUCUACUAAAUUAUGAGUAAAAAUGAUAAAUGUACAGCAGGAUUUGAUAUUUCUGGGAAGAGUGCAAGUUUGAAGUAUAAUGGUAUCACACCCUUAGACCGCCAUUGGGUCCGCUUGGGCACAAGCAACAGACCAAUACGUAGAAAUUAUGCAUGAUAUAGAUACAUAAAGUAUCAAAAUGUAAUACUAUUAAAACUAAAUGAAACCAUUACAACUUCAAUAUUUUAAAGUUUACAACACUUAUUUUUAUUCAAAAUACUACACUGUUCUUUUGGGUACACACUAGACAUCUUACUCGGUCUAACUGUUUUUCGACGCCCUUGCCACGGUCCCUGCCUCUCUGCCGAAAGUGAUAUUCAUUUGGUCCAAGAAGCAUUCGUAGAUAAUGAUAAAUAAGGACAUCUAUUGGUACUAUAGAAAUGCAGGAAUUAAAAUACCACUACGAUGCGGUAUGUCAUUAUCCUAUACAUAAAUCGAAUUUCAUUUUUCAGCUUUAACACCUCAUGGAGAGUAGAUUGUUCUCGAACUCCUCUUCAAUUAGUAGGUAAAUGGGGUUGAUUGCUCAUGGAGAAUAGAUUGUUUUCAAAUUUCUCUUCAAUCAUUUAGUAAAUGGGACUGAUUGUUCUCGGACUCUUCCAAGUAUCUCAUACCUUGACACUUCCGGAAGGUUGUACGUUUUAUACUAUUUCAUCCUAAAUUCACGACUUUUAGGAUUAUCGAUAUUGCCCAACAUACAAACACUUUCUUUAGUUCAAAUUUACCGAGAGUUUACUUGCCACUAUAUUCUUGCCUUAGGUUUUCAACCUAGAUUACAUACAUAUCUCUCUUGUUUUCUAUGUUCAAGAUUCGCAUGCAUGUCACCCAUCUUACUCUUUUGUCGUACACACGGUUAGAAAUCUUAUCUUUUCGUAGGUCAAAUGCUAAGAUGACAUCUUGACCCGUAUAAUCUAUUAGUAUGCAACUAGAAUACAUUUACCUACAUUAUACAUAUGAAUAUAUAUGAAAUUGAAAAAAUUUUAGACAAAUGAGUGAUUAAAUAUAUUUGGGUGAUAUUUUCAAUCUUUGUUUUGAUUCUUUGCAAAGAGAUAUUUUUGAUCUUCUUUAAUUCACCAACGAAAUCCUAUUCUCUUCUAACAAGCAAAGCGUAGAUAAGAAGAUGAUCUUCUCCUUUCUAGAAUUUUCUCUUGAAGCUCCCGACCAUGGCGUGAGGGAUGCUCUCGGGUUGAGCGCCUGACCGGUGUAUUGGACAUCUGAAUGGGUUCAAUCCAAUUUUCUAAUUUAGUUUUAAAAAUAAAUUGUAACUUUAAGUUCAAAUUUAAGAUUUUGAAUUUUAGAAUUAAAAUAAUUGCAUAAUUGGUUUCCAUACUUUUCACUUUUUUCACUUUGGUUCUUUAAAAAGCCGGAUAGGUGCUCGUCUUGCACUGAUGUGGCAUAUCCUGUAAAUUUAAUGGUCAUUUUAAUGGCUGGGAUUUAAUUGUAAACAAAUAAAAAGGUCGGGGAAUUGAUUGCAAAAAUAAAAAAAGUGUAGGACUUUAUUAAAAGAAAAGUGAAAUGGUGCCAGACCGGUAAUACAAUUAACUCAAAAAAAAAUUCACAUAAAAACACUUUUUUCUUUUAAAUUAUGUUUUCUAUAUUUUUACAUCCAACAAAAUACCUUCUUCGCUAAAAAUACAUAAAAUAAAUCUUUAAUUGCCAUGUUUUCAAGAUAAAACUACUGGACAAUCAAGAACUACACUUACAAAUAGUGAUAUUUAGACUUAUCAGCAUUUAAUGUCAGCUUGUCAAUCUAGUUUGGAGAAGCAUUCGGUUAAAAUAAAAUUUCUUAAUUUGUUUGUUUUUUAUUAUAUCUUAACUCUCAGAGANUCUUUAUAUAUUUUAAUAAAUUUCUCUUUUUAAGUAUAUAUAUUUUUUAAACAUGUUAAAUUUUUAUAAUUACAAGUUUUAUAGUAGAAAAUAAAAUUUCUUAAUUUGUUUGUUUUUUAUUAUAUCUUAACUCUCAGAGAUCUCUUAUAAUUAAACAACUUAAAUUGCUCUUGCAUAUUAUUUAUUUUCUACUAUAAAACUUGUAAUUAUAAAAAUUUAACAUGUUUAAAAAAUAUAUAUACUUAAAAAGAGAAAUUUAUUAAAAUAUAUAAAGACCCAUUCAACUAUAAAUAUGAACUUUUCUGUUUCAGUUGACCUCUAUCAAUUUUUAUUUAUUUUUAUUUAAUUUUAUUUUAUUUAAUUGUAUUGGUAAAUUUGAAAUUUUUGAGAACUAAAUUCCAUAUCGCAUAUGAAUAAAAUAAAAAAUAAAUCAAUCCGGUGCCAGCAGAUCAUUCUCAUAUUACAAUGUAAAAUAAUAAUCUAAUCUAAACAGAUCUAAAGUUCAGACUACAUCAUCUUGGACCAGUUAAAAUUUCUUAAUCUACUAUUUGAAAUUGAAUAUGAUGAACUGAGGACUACAUCACCUUGACCAGUUAAAAUCUCUUAAUUUGUUUGAAAUUGAAUAUGAUGAACUGAGGCUCUGAUUAGCCGCGAACAUAUCCGGCCUCUACGCGUAUCCGCAUAGAAUUGAUGUAGAUCCAACAUCUUCCGUCGCACGGAAGAGAUGAAUCGCAUAUUACAAAGACGGUGCAAGUCUUUUUACGUUCUCUUUUUGAUGAAAUAGUGUGAACAAGAUAGAAAGAGAAUAAUGUGAGAUCCUGCUUCCUCCUCUUAAUAGAGCCGAGCCGUACAAAUCGGCACACCCUUUGUUGUAACUAAUCAAUCAUCUCCAUUAGCUGUUGGUCAUUAUUAUUAAUUUCUUUUGCUAAAAAUUACUUAGAGAAAUGAAAUUUUAAAAAUUUAUUUGAUUAAUUUACCAAAAUCUCUAAUAUAUUUAAAUAAAAUAUAGAAAACAAAACAAUUUAGAUAAAGCUUAAUUAGAAUGCUAUUUCAAAAUGGCGAAGUUGAGAGAUAUCCAUAUUAUUUUAUUUUUAUUUAUUAUUAGACUUAAAAUUUCUCGUUUCAGCAAGUAAAAUAAAUAUAAGUACACCAAUAAGACAAUUAUAUUUGAAUAAGCAUAAUGAUAAUAUUUAUAUUAUAUACAGCGUAAACUCCAAAUACUUAAGAUUUUAGUUCUCUCCAAUAUCUCAUAUUAAAGAUCUUUUGGUGGAGAUUAUUUUUUUUUAUUUUGCUCCCUUCUCACGCAUACUUUUUCACAGUAUUGAUUUUCUGGGUACAGCUAUAUAUAUGCCAUAAAAUUUUUGCAAACUACCUUAGGUCACAUAAGAUGGAUGCUAAGUAUGUUUCACCUAACCAAACUUUAUACAUGUAAUAUUAGAGAAAUCAUGCUAAAUGAUCGAGUGCUAAGUAUGUUUCACCUAACUAAACUUCAUACAUGUGAUAUUGGAGAAAUCAUGCUAAAUGAAUAGCUUCAUAAUCCUUAAUUCCUUCUCAUCAACGGUCUCUAAAACUACCGACCAUCCGUAGGACCCUAGCGCAAGUGAUUAGGAGCUUGGUGGUUGAUAACCGAGAUUCUAAAUUUUAAGGCUAGUUGCUCUCCAUUUUCAGCUGAAUUUUUUUUAUAAAAAAAUAAACAAAAUAGGUAGCAUUUUAUCUUUGCUUUAAUUUUAGCUAUUUUUGUCAAUUAACCUAGACGUUUUUCUAAAUUAAAAAUAUUUAUUAAUUAUAUGCUACAAGUAUUCUACUAACAGUCUAUUGUUUCGUCAGUUUAAUUAUUUGUAACUCACUAAUUGUUUCUGGCGUAAGUGGUAAAAAACUUGAUAGUUAGUACUCGAGGCCCCAAGUUCGAAGUCUGCUUCAUAUUUUCAAUCUACUUUGAGUCCCGAGUUCAAAUUCGCUUCAUAUUUUUAAAGAAAAACUUCAAAAACCCCCCUGUGGUUUCGUAGUUUCUCACUUUUCCCCCCUGUGGUUUAAAAUGUAUCAAUUUGCUCCGCUGUGAUUUCUUUUUUCUCUUUUUCUUAUCAAUUUCAUUAUUUUUUUUCUUAAAUCAGUGAUAAAGUUAAAAUUAAAGGGUACUAAAGUGAAUAUUUGAUAAAUCUAGAUGGAUAUCUGAAAUUUUUUGUAUAUAAUUUAAUGAAAUAUUAACGAAAAAACUACCGAAAAGAUAAAAACGAAACCAGAGGAGGACAAAUUAAUAUAUUUUAAAUCACAUUGGGGUAAAAUGAGUAACUACGAAACCACUGGGGUUUCUUAAAGUUUUCCCUAUUUUCAACCUACUUUGGUCGAAUGCCCGAUCCCCAAGUUUCAUGUAAAAUAAUAUAAAAUAAUUUACUUGACCUGAAAGACCAUUUUUGUCCACUCCGAACAGAGAUGCACGAUCCAAUACAUGGCUGAAUGAAUUGAUUUAUCAAGAAAUAAAACUCGCUAUUUUUACAUAUUAGGCUCCUAUUUGGAUGCGUAAACAUCUUAUUUAGGAUAUUUAGCAUGUAAUAUUUAAUAGAUAAAUAGUAUGAUCGAAUAUCUAUAAUGAAUAUCAUAUUCAACAUCCAACUAAUUUUAUUAAGAUGAAAUAUGUUAUCCUACUAAAUUAGAAAUAAUAAAAUAUUUCAAGAGACAAAAAUUAAGCUCCUAGAAAAAGAAAAUUAUACGAAAUAAGUUAUCAUUGAAUAUCUUAAUCCAAAAUCCAAAGAAGCCUAAUAAAGGUUUUGUAUUAGAAUAGCUAAAGAUUCCCAAAUUUUCCAAGCACAAGUCUUGGUGUUUUAUUACCCAAUACCAACUCUACCUGUAUUAUUUUUUAAAAUUUAAUUCCAUGUUAUAAAAUUUAAUUAAAUUGUAAUCAAGGGAAGCUGAAAAAGAUUUAAACUAAAGAGUCCGACUGGUAUACUACCGGUAGUACGGAGGCCUCCGUACUACUAAAUUGUUUUCAAUGAUGCAGCUUUCAAAUCAACAAUCAGCUCCAUUAGACUUAAUCUACAUUAUUGAAAAUAUUUGAAAACUAAAUUUCAUAAUUUUUCGACAUCAUUUACCUGUCAAAGAAGUAGUAUAAAAAUAAACAGUUAAAAAUAAAAAUCUCAUAAAAAUGAUGAUAAAAAACUUAAAUUUAAAAUCAGAGAUAUUGAUCUUAUUCUAAAUAGUAAAAAAUGAAAAUAAAAAUUUCAUCAGAUUUGAAUUGUUUUACACCGUUAAAUUUACAAACGCAUCACAUCGACCAUUAUAAUUGUCAAUUUUGAAACAUUUUGAUCGCUAUCUAAAUAAUGUCAAAAAAUCAAAAAAUUUAGUUUUCAAAUACUUUUAAUAGUGUAGAUCAAGUCUAAUGAAACCGAUCAUUGAUUUAGAAGCCGCAUCAUUGAAAACAACUAGAUAGCACGAAGGCCUCCGUGCUAUUUGAUAGUAUAUCAGCCCUAGCUCUAAAGUGAGUUCAUAAAUACAGUGGGUCAUUUUGAUAGAUAACACCAUUCAAUUCAAACUUUCCACUUUGUAAAGGGUGUGGUUACAGUGCAGAUCACAGCAUCCAACAACCUCCAAUUCAAACAACAAAGAAGCAGAGCUUCUUCAAGUGUUUCAAGCUUUUGCAAUCACAGAACUUCAGAAAAUCAACUACAGGAUUAAAAGGGUGCUAGUUUAUUUCAUCAACUUUCCAUGGUUUGCCUACAAAGGGACAAACAUAAGUGAAAAAAUAAUAAUAAUAAUAAUAAUAAUAAUAAUAAAUAUAUAUAUAUAUAUAUAUAUAUAUAUAUANAUAUAUAUAUAUAUAUAUAGAUAUAUAUAUAGAGCUAGACUCCUGCGCUUUCGAAAGUACGGAGGCUUUCAUACUUGUAAAUUGUUUUCAUUGAUAGGGCAUCCGAUUCGGCGAUCGGUUCCGUUAGAGAUGAUUUACAGUAUUGGAACUCUCUAAAAACCAAAUUUCAUAAGUUUUUUACUUUUUUUGCCUCGUGAACUAUUAGCCUUAAAAUGAACGGCUGAAAUUAAAAAUUUCAUAAAAAAGAGUGAUAAAAGACUUAAGUUUCAAAUCGAAAGUAUUGAUCUUGCUUUUCAUGAUAAAUACAAUUUUCUUUUAAAGUUUUACGUAAUUUCGAUUGUUCUACACGUCGAACUUGUAAACAUGCCACAUCGGCUAUUAAAAUAGUCAUUUUUGAAACCUUUCAUCACUUGGUAAAUAAAAUUGAAAAAUUAUGAAAUUUAGUUUACAAUAGCAUAGAUCAUGCCUAACGAAAUCAAUCGUUGAAUUGGAUCUUCCAUCAUUAGAAGUAGCUUACAAGCACGGAAGCCUCCAUACUUUCAAAACCGUAGGAGAUGUACUCUAUAUAUAUAUAUAUAUAUAUGUAUAUAUAUAUAUAUAUAUAUAUAUUCAACUACACAUAGCAUAAACACGUUCUUUAUAAACAAAAGUUUAAGCCCCUGAAAUUCUACUAUGCGCAAAGAUCUUACCCAAAUGCUUAAGGUACCACAAUGCCCAAAUGCUCAAGAUACCAUAAUGCCCCUUCUGCAGCAUGUUCUCUCGCAGCUUUCUUUUUCCGCUUUGGUUCACUAAAGCACUCCAAGAUUGUGGUGGUGAUUGUAUCCACUUCCACUGUGACUUUGCAGGUGAACCUGCCACAAUUUAAUGCCUACAACAUAAGAUGGUGGAUCAUGCUGAUGUAUAUAAAUAACUAAGCAUAAGUACCAUAGCAAGGCUACCUUCAGAAAUUAAUAAUGCUAUUCUGUAAGUGCAUAAAUGAAGAUGCUUUUGUUCAGAUUAUUCUAUCGGCGGGGGCAAUUUUGAUCCUUUUGAAACUUUCAGAAAUUGCUAUUUGAGUUAAACUAUUAGAAGAAGCACAGGAAGUUUUUCACUCCUUGAAACUUUCAGCACAACAAAGCAGAAGCUUCAAACCUGAGCUUCUACUUUGCAGCCCACACGCACAUUAUAACUUCCUGCAGCAAUAAAAGCUUCAAAUAGUUUGUCUAACAAACGCGUUGCCGAUGCUUCUUUGAGCAGAAAAACUGUUCUAGAUGCCAAGCCAAAUAGGUACAUAAUAGCAAAUGCACCUUCUCUAACAUCAGCUUACAUGAAUAUGAUAUAUCUCCAAGGAGGAGGUAGCUAAGGAUAUAAGCUCCCUCUCUUUUACUUUUUCCAUCUCAAUUUUAGCAUCUGAGAGCUGUGCAUUUCUUGUUGUCUGAUGCAAGUUUGUUCGAACUUUUAGAUCUUAUUGUAACAGGCUAUGCCUUGUUGCUUUAAAUUUUGAAUGAGCCCAAAAAAUUUUGGGCAUGUUAUCAACAUAAUACCUGUCAAAGUAUAUAACUUUUCAACUUUAAAUAUGCUUUAAGUUAUUGCUAUUUCAGACUUUUUCUUGGAAAGCAAUUAAGAUAGCACUUAUUACUAAUCAUCAGUAGUUACAAAAUCACAAGGUAUACCAAAAAUGAAGCUAAAAAUUCCUGAAGCUAAAAAAUCCUGUGGUUAUUACAUUUUACGUAUCUGAAAAGGCAUGGCCGAAAAUGCAAUGAUUCCUUUAGACACAUCAGCAAGAAAUAUAUAAACUGUCAUACAUCCCAAGAAUUGUGAAUAUCAUUAAACUUGAAAAGUCGCACAGCUACUCACAUCAACAGUUGCAAGAACGGAGAAUUUUGUCAGCAAAAUUUAAGUAAUGGUCCCUCCAUAUGACAACGGUAUAUCACUAAAAUCAUGUGCAUAUGAAUUCUCACAUCCCUGUAUAGCUUGUUGUUUCUUCAUACUUUUAAAUAUACAUAUACUGCAGCAUAAAGUUUCCGUGCAUUUAACAUGCUCCAUGGGCGUCAAUCUAGUAUUAGAAAUUUCUACACAUAACAGUGAAAAAUGUACAAAAUUCUAGUAAAUCUAUUGUCAUCAGUAAGCUGUUCCUUUAUACACUUAAACUCAUCCAUAGUGCGCCACAAAUUUUCCAUAUUUAUAACAUGCUUCAUAGGCGUCAAUCAAAUGUAUGAAUUCUUGAACUGAUGUUCUCAUAAAUUUGCAGAAUGUGUAUAACGUCUUCGUUCAUUUUUUUUUAUGAGAAAAUUCAUUGCAUUUAUUUUUGCAAACUUACAUCCUUCCAUGGACGGGUCCUUCUUGGCACAAUUCAAACAAAGGCGCUUUCCAAUAGUUAGAGGCACAGAUCUCGAACAGCUUCGUCCUCGCUGUUUUGAUUCUGGGAAUGCCUAUGGAUCCAAAGCAUAAUGAAAACAAUUUAAUAAAUUCUAAAUUCAUUUACAUGAUAAUUCUUCAUUACAGAAGCUUAAAAUUGGCACCUUUUUGACCGCCAGGAUUGGCUUGUUGUCCUUCAUUCGCUGCUUGAUGACCCACGACUGUUUUAUCCUUAUCCUUUGUCUUAUGGAGAUGCGACUCGCAAUGGGUCUCCUUCGAGUCGACGAAUAACUUGGCCAAUUUAUCUACACCAACGCCCGCUGCUAACGGCUGUUGGCCCUUUACAACGAAUUGCGGCUCCUUCUUCCUAGCGGGCCGCAUUAUCUCCUUCAACGACUCACUCUUCCGCUUAAAACCAAGGGCCUGGACUGAAAAUGAAGUAAAUGAAAAGUACAUAUAUAUGCAUGAUGUUUCUGCAAACUCAGUUUUUCGAAAGUAGAACAGAAAAACAACUGUUAAGCCCAAAAUAGGCAAAUCAGAGUCAUUCAAUCUGAUUGAAUAGUGACCAAAUUCAAUGAAUCUGUCUGUCAAUAGUAAAACCAGCUCUGUUGAUAAAACUAGCAAUCCCAGAAGGUAGAUUAGCUGCCGACCUGAGGUUGAGCUACCAUAUUUAGUACUCAAAUUUACAGCGACGAGAUCUGAACAACAACGCAGAAUAAACAAAUGAUCCAGUUAAAAUCGAACCAAUGGAUCGCAGAUAUCCAAGAAAAGGUAAGUUAUGGCCUAUGGGAGACUCUGGACUGACGCAGUUUAGUGAGAGCAGAAAUAUUAGUUCUGUCGUCGACCACGAUGGCGACGAGGAAGGAUUGUAGAAUGUUGCGAAACUGUAUCCAAUUCUGAUAUCUAAAAUUGGAAGUGGAGAGCAUGAUAGAAUGGCAAGUACCCAGCACUCCAUUUGUGGCAAACAAUAGGCAUGGUUGGAGAAGAUCAAAGUACCAGCUAAUGCUGAAGAGAGUGUGCCCUACCUCCUGCUGCUGCUGCUGCUGCUGCUCCGCUUCCGUGAAGCUAACCAUUCGGAGGGGGUGAAGAAGAGGAAAUGAGAUCCCCUUGAAACCCUAGAAAGGGAUCCGCAUCUCUGAACACAUCGCAAGUUUCAAUCGAGCCCCCUAAACUUUCGUUGCAAUUGGGUUCUCACAUUAGGAUAAUUGCCUAUAUACCCCUCAAAACUUCAGAAAUUUCUCAUUUACCCUUUUUUUUUCUUUCUAAUACACCCCUCAUACAUUCCUCCGUUUUUCCAAAAUAUUCCUAGGGCGUGUUUGGUGCGCUUCUUUUUCACCCUGGAAUCGAAAUCGGAAUGGAUAAAUCCGUUUAUGGGUGUUUGGUACGGGGUUGUUCCAUUUCAAUUCCGAUUCCCGAGUGAAAUGGGAAUCCCCCAAUCACCUCUUUUUUCAAUCCGGCCUAGGAGGUCGGAUUGAAAGUUGAAUCCGGACGGAAUGGAUAUUUAUUCGGAUUAAAUUUAUUUUUUAACUUUUUUAAUUAAAAUAUGAGUUAAAAUUUUAAAAUUAAAUAUAUAAUUUUAAAUUUUAAUUUAAACUUAAAUUAAAAAUUAAAAUUUAAUCAAGUAUUUCGAAUCUAACUUAUGAAUUUGAAUUUAAAUUAAAUUUUAAUUUAUAUAAAAUGUUAUUCAAAUUUUAUUUCAAACUUAAAUUAAAUUUAUGGAUUCAAAUUAAAAUUUAAAUUGUAAUUUUAAAUUUGAAUUUGAAUAAAUCAAAAUUUAGUUUCAUAUUUUGAAUUAUCCACUCAACUUCAAAGUUUAAUUUUUUUUAAAAAAAAUAGAUUUAAAAUUUUGACAUUAUUUCAAAAUUUUGAUGUAAAUUUUUAAUAUUUAAUUUUUAAUUUGAAUUUAAAUUAAUAUAUUAUAAAGAUAAUGUUAGUAUAUUAAUUUGAUUACAUUUUUUAUAUCCACCUGAACCAAACACCGACAAUGGGAAUGAUUUACUCCGAUUCCGAUUCAGGUGAUGAACCAAACAGAAUCAGAUAAUGAGUCAUUCCGAUUCCAAUUCCAGCUUAUUUUGAUUCCGAUUCCGAUUUCGAUUCCGACUUCGAACCAAACGCGCCCCUACAGUUAUCACCCGUUAAAUUAACUUGGAUUAAACGUGAGUUAAAUAUCUACCACAGUUAAAAAAAUUAAAAUACCACUUUUGUCCUUAACUUAAGGGCAAAUAAGAAAUUUGGUGGUGGUAGAAUGGUAUAUUUGAAAAAACUAAAAAACAAAAUACUUUUUUGUGCCCUUAACUUAAGGGCAAAUAAGAAAAGUCGGUGAUGGUAGAAUGGCAUAUUUGAAAUGGCAAAAUAAUAAUUUCAUAUAGAUAAUUGAGUUCAUUAACAGAUUUUAACUCUAGAGAUAUAUUAGAAAUAGGUUGGAACGUAAAAAAAGUAUUUUUAAUAUUAGCCUUUUAAAAAGGCUAAAUCAGAAAGUCAAAAACUUUUCAGAGGUAUGUAAGCAAUUACCCCCUUACAUUUCACACCCAAGCAUCAAAUUACUAGGGAUGAAAGUGGUCACGGUAAACUCUCAUCAGAUCCGAUACCGAAUUCCAUAAAAUACGAAGGCUGCGUUUGAUUUGGGUAUAAGUAAGAACUGCUUAUUCUAAGAAUAGGUAUAAGCUUAGGUAUAAGUAGGAACAAGACCAAUUUUACGUUUGGAUGAAAUUAGGUUGUUCCUAGAAAUAAGGUAAAUAGUAUUUUGAUGGUUAUAUUGGAGCGAAGAGAAUAAGAGUUAUAAUUGUAUAUAUUAAAAUUACUUUAUAUAAUUAAUUAACAUCAAAACAUUACUUAAAAUAAUAAAUUAAUAUUAAUAAUUAUAAAUAAUAAAUUAAUUAAAUAAUAAUAAAUUAUUAUUAAUUAAUAUUUAUUAUUUUUAAUUUUUUAGUAUUAAAUAAUUAAUAAUUAUAAAUUAUAAAUUAAUUAAUUAAUAAUAAAUAAUUAUAAAUAAAUUAUUAAUAAUAAAUUAAUUAGAUAAUAUAGUAUAAAUAAUUUAUUAUUUAUAAUUUAUUAAUAAAAAUUUAUUAUUAAUUAAUAAUUUAUAAUUUACAAUUAUUCAUAAUUUACUAUUUAUUUUAUUAUUAAUUAAUUAAUUUAUUAUUUAUAAUUAUUAUUAAUUUAUUAUUUAUACUAUAUUAUCUAAUUAAUUUAUUAUUAUAAUUUAUUAUUUAUAAUUAUUUAUUAUUAAUUAAUUAAUUAAUAAAUAAUUAUAAUUAUAAAUAAUAAUGAUUUAAUUAAUAAUUAUAAAUAAUAAAUUAAUAAAUUAUUUUAUUAUUUAAGCAAUAAAUAAUGAUUUAAAUAUAUUAAUUAGAUUAAUUAAUUAUUUAAUAUCAUAAUUAUAAUUAUUUUUAAACUUUAGUUAACUUUAUUCUCAUAUGGGAACAAGCUUGCUCCAGGGAAAAGCUGAACAGCCGUUCCAGCUUUAUUCCGGCUUAUUUCAGAAAUUCGAGAAUUGUUGUUUUCGGAUACUAAACGUAGCGUUUGGUAACAAAGGGGGGAACAAGGGCUUAUUCCCCCUAGUUCCCAAACCAAACGCUACCAAAGAGUCCAGCUGGGUUAUUUCUAAUAGCAUCAAAUAUUUGAUUCUAUCAAAUUUUUCACUAUUUAAUUUAUUUAUUUGAUCAUUUUUUUUCUAUUAAAUCAUACUAUUCAACCUACUAGCUACUCAACACUACAGGAUUAUUAUCAUCCUAACCGCACAUCUCUUCCUCCAAGGACCGAAAACCUAAUAGCACUAUUGACUUGGUACUAUUAGAAAAUUUUCGGUCUAAUUUGAAUACAAAUAUGGAUAUUAAAAUUUAGUAUUAGAUACAUAUUUGUAUCUAAAUUCUCAUUAUAUAUAUAUAUAUACAUAUAUAUAAUUGAGCUAGAAUACUUUUAGGAGUAUUACUCCCUUGGUGCUUUUAAGAUUUUUAGCCCUUGGAUCUACUACUUGAUUACUAAUAGUCAUUGGAUCAAACACUAUUCCACCUACCACCACCUACCACCAUCAUCCCAACCUUACAUUUCUCCAUUCAAGAGUUGAAAACUCAAAAGCACCAAUCUCUUGGUGCUUUUGAAAGUAUUCUAGCUCAACUCUCUCUCUCUCUAUAUAUAUAUAUAUAUGUGUGUGUGUGUGUGUGUGUGUCACGCCCCGGAUUACCACGUUUCUCCGGGUACGCCAACAGACCCGCGGUAUAUAAAAGAAUUUUCUUUGUAUACGAAGCGAUAGCUGUAUCUGUACCUAUAAUCAUACAAAACUACAACUAGUAGUAUAAAGCUCCUAACAGAACUAUAAACAUAUGUAAAUAAACAUCAGGUUCGCUAUACAUACAUAGUCUUCAGGAUACAGACAUCACUCGCUCAAGCGAGUACCAGUAUAAGUAUGUACAUGAACCAAAAACUCAAAACUACCUUUAGAUGGUACUCCACUAGUACUGCAACCCAGGAAAGGAUCUAACUCGCGACUCCCUUUUCACGAUCAGUAUCGGCGACAGCAGCAGCCGCAGAAUAAGGCUCUACAAAAAAGGGUCAAUAACUGGGUGUGAGAACUACUGCAAAAAGAAGUAAUUCUCAGUGGGUACCGCUACCGACCUCAACGGCUCAUCCACUAAGUCUACAGAAAGUAUGCAAAAAGAUAGUAAAAGAAGCUGGUAAAACUCUACAGCUAUAUACCACUAUACUAUCGCUAAACAACACUAGCUAUCUGUAAAUGUAAACAAGAUGCAAUCUCUGACCCAAUCUCACUAGGGACUGUGAACACACCCGUUUCGCCCGUCGAAACUACACCAACCACCACCACACUGGGUUGUUGGUGGAAAGCAAGUCCAACCAGAACACUACGACAACAACGCAAAAGCAUUAAACCCGACUCCGGAGUGGCACUCGUGGACGCUACCCAACCGAGAAUGCAAACGUGUCUUUGCCGAGCUCAAUCAGACUCUCACAGGCUAAAAUGAAAACAAUCGGGUCUAACUGGUCUAACAACCAAAACUCACGUGCCCUUGACACAAUUUGAUGCAAAUACAGAAAUCUGGAUCUACCGUCAACCGCGACGGCACCCGACAGUCUGAAAUAGUCUACACACUACUGUAAAAAUAAACUCGGCAUCUCAGCACGAGUAUAAACUAAUCCUACACUAAUCUGAGUAUCCAUCGCAUACUAACAGCGACGAUACAAACAAACCACAGCUCCUAAAGCUAAAUCUGGUAAUUUUUAGAAAGUGACAGUAUAGAAUCUAUAUAUUUUCUCCUAAGCCAAUUUCAAGUUCAACAUGUAAAAUUAAACUACUAACUUAACUCCAAAUUUAGAUUUAAACACUAAUCCAUGAAUUCGAGUACUAGUAAGGAAAAUACACAGAUAAUACAUAUCAAGGAUACUAAAACUUAGAAUAUAUUCCGACGAUUUCGGUAAACUUCAACCUACCUCAAAAAGCUAGUCCAACUACGGCGAGAAGUCGAGAGGAGAGAAAACACGCGCUCGCCCGGCCUCCCAAUGAUGCAACCGCGACGCUCCCACGCUCGAACGGCCCUCCGGAUCAAUGUCAAAAUCAGCCGAACUCGAGCCGCGAUCACCACCACGAGCAUGUUCAAAACUAGAGAGAGAGCAUCAACAAUAAAAAAAACUCUCCCCUCAACUCUCUCUGCAAGUCUAAAGAGGUGGGGAUAAGGAUAACAUUGGUGAUAAUGACAAUCCAAAAGACCAACGUACCCUUCACCUACUCAAAAUUACAGCUAGAGUACCGGUACCCGAUUUGGUUACCGGUACUCAGCCUCUCAGCCCGCAAGCUCUCACACAAGGUACCGGUACCAACCCGAUGCCGUACCGGUACUCAGCAUCAAACUGGCGCAACCCGAGAGCAGUCUGUUUGAAAAUACACUGGGGAACCGGUAUUUCCCUAUAUAGUACCGGUACUCAAUACUAAAAACCUAUACUUUGCAGAUUUUAUUGUCAAAACUCUGCUCUCGCGUCGCACUGAGUCCGUUUUGCGUCCAUUUCGCGCCAAAACAACUUUGACUUGUCCCGACAUUCUCCAAAUAUGUCGACAAGCCUCAGAUGCUAAAAUCCCACAGGCAACCAAACACCAGGGAUACUAUAGUGUGCGCGCGCGCGUGUGUGCGUGCGCGCGCGCGUGUGUGUGUGUGAAUAUUGUUUUUUAAAAUUCCAACUAUAUAUAACUGUCUCUACUUGUAGAAGAUAAGAGGGAUGUUAAUGUAUAUUAUAUUAUAUGGGGGAUAAAAUGGUUUUCUGUCGCAUUUUUUAUUUAUUUAAUUAUAAAUUUAAUAGUAAAAUUAAAAUUAUGUUAUAUUUUUAAAAUAUUAAACUUCAUUGAAUAAAAUAUAGGGAUGCGAAGUUCAAACAUAAGUGUGAAACUUUAGUUACAUUCUAUGUUUUAUCUGUACUAAUUCUAGUUCAUAUUUAUAUAUAAACUAUUGGUAUAAAUUAAUAUCCGAAUAAUAUAUGAAUGCAAAUUCGAUAUUCGUCUUUAGCAGAUAGAUAUAACAAAAAUUUAACGUCCGAUACAAAUCAGCAUACGAAUUCACUUCUGAGGAAAAAUACGAAAACGAAUAUUGUUUUGUCAAAACUUCAAUCAUAUUCGGCUGGUUUUACCCCUACAAAGAAGGCCCUAACCUUCUACUUAUUAUAAUUAGAUUCUUAAUAUUUUAAUUAAGUUUUCAAGUAAACCCAUAAUGCAUUUCUAGUCGAUUCAAUUAGAUUUUAAUUUGUUUUGAAUAUUUUAUUAUUAUUUGUUUGUUUCUCACCAGAUUUGGAAUGUAUAAGAUCUACGCAAAAUUGGCCCGAUGCACCCAACAAAAGUUGUUAACAAAUUGACUUAUGUUUGGCUCAAAAGUAAAAUAACCUUAAGAUAAUUCGGCUUAUUUUCAGCUGAAAAUUAAUUUGAGCUAGUUCGAAAUUAUUUCAAACGGGCUUAAAUUUAAACUGUAACAAAAUAUUAAUGUAUUAUUAUUAUUAGUUUAUUAUUAUUGAUGCUUAAUUUAAAAAUAUGUCUUACCUAAAAUAAUUGUAUCUGACUGUUUAAUGGGUCAAACUUAGGCGCCAGCCUCACUGGCUCAGAAACUUUCCCCCGUCCUUCAUUUGACCUGGUCCGAUCCAAAGUUCUGUUCAAACCCCACCACAAUAGUAAAAUAAAAAAAAAAGGAAAAAAAAGAGGCCAAUUUGCAUAAAAAAUUCACUUAUUUUGGACUUUUGCAAAAUCGGGCCACAUUUUUCGUUUUUGCAGAUUCGGUCCGCUUUUUCGUCCGCCUAACCAAAAUACCCUUAUUACUUUUUCUCUUUCCUCUUUCUCUCUCCUCUCUGUUUCUAUCGUUCUGUUUUUUUUUCUCGCCGCGCUCGCCGUUCUCCCUCGAAUCCUCCUGCGUCGUCCCCAUCACCGUCGCGUUCCCGAACCGCACCCUCCUCGCUCCCCUCCCGCAACCCAGCAACCCCCUUGACCGCCGCCGCACGGGCCGCUCCUCCGCCGCCGCGCGUCGAUUCUGUUUUUUUUUUCUCGCUGCGCCUAGCAGUCCCCUCGAAUUCACUGCGGGCCGUCACUCACCGUCGCGUUCCCCGAACCCCCUCCUCGUCCCACCGGCGACUCCGCCAAGUUCCUCGACGGCCCCCCGCCGCUGCUCCCGCCGGCCGCGGAUUCGAAGGAGAAAAGGCAGCGCGGCGAGAAAAAAAAAAGAGCGAUAGAAUUACACCAUUACACCAUUACCAUUACACCUACCAUUACAUCAUUACACCAUUACCAUUACACUAUUACACCAUUACUAUUACAUCAUUACACCAUUACCAUUACAUCAUUACCAUUACAUCAUUACACCAUUACACCAUUUACGCCACUACAUCAUUACACCAUUUGCCGAUGGAGAAGAACACGCGUGGGUCUUUUUCAUUUUCUUCUUCUUUUUCAUUUUCUUCUUCUUCCUCCUGCGGAGGACCUCGACUCCCUCAAUCUCCGCUGACGGGGGUGCCUCUUCCGCCGCCGCCUCGGCGGGGCGCGGCGGCGCCGAUGGCGUCAUCGGACGAGGAGACGUUUUACACGCCGCAGCGCUCGGCGGAGUCGGUGUACAGCGACAGCCCCAGCAGCCCCAUCUCGCGGCGGUGGUGUCGAAAGCUCGUCGGCGAUGGUGAGGGAGCUGCUCGAGGUGGUGCUCGCUCUGUUGAGCUCGGGCUUGGCGGCCGCCGACCUGCGCUGGUCGACGAGGCCGCGCAGGCCGCGGACUGCGACGAGCGGAGAAGCCGCGAAGCUCGGGGCCAGCUCCGCCACCACCACCGCGUUGCUUCGCCGCAACCGCUCAUUCUCCUCCACCAACGCCGUCGCUCCUCCUACGUUGGCGGCGGCGGCGGCGGCGGAGGCGGUAGGGGUGGGGCCGAGGACGAGGAGGCGAGGAGGAGAGGGGGAGUCGGUCUAUGGCUGGGGGUCCGCGGCGACGGGAUCGAAGAAAGGAGAGAGAAAAAAAAGAGGAGAGAGAAAAAUAUAUAAAGGUAUUUUGGUCAGUUUGCUGAAAAAGUGGACCGAAUCUGCAAAAACGAAAAAGGUGGCCGGGUUUUGCAAAAACCCAAAAUAAGUGGAUUUUUUAUGCAAAAAGGCCAAAAAAAUGUGUCAAUGUAUGGAAAAAAAAAAUCCAUAUUUCUAAAAAUUCCUAUCCAAAUCAAACUUAUACGACAAAAAAAGAAAAAAAAAAUAGCAUAUGAGAUGCAAAACACACAAAACUUGCAAAACACUAAAAAUUAAAGGGAAAACUUCAAACACCAACCUGUGAUUUCACAAUUUUUCACUUUAGUACCCUGUGGUUUAAAGUGUAUCAAUUUAGUAACAUAUGAUUUCACACUUUCUCACUUUAGUACUCUGUGGUUUAAAGUGCAUCAAUUUAGUACCCUGUGGUUUCAUUUUUUUUCUUUUCGUCAACUCCUCUGUUAAUAUUUCGUUAAAUUAUGUAUAAAAAACUUCAGAUACCUUACUUAAGUUUUUCAAAUAUUUACCUAGCACCUUUUAGUUUUAAUUUUGUCACUGAUUUUUUUUUCCUCCAUUAAUAUUUCGUUAAAUUUUAUACAAAAAACUUCAGAUAUGCUACCUAGGUUUAUCGAAUAUUCACUUUAGUACUCUUUAAUUUUAACUUUGUCACUGAUUUAACGAAAAAAAUUAGUGAAAUGGAUAAUAAAAAGAGAAAAAUAAAACCACAGUGUCCUAAUUUGAUACACUUUAAACCACAGGGUACUAAAGUGAGAAAGUGUGAAACCACAUAGGCUAACUUGGUACACUUUAAACUACAGGGUACUUAAGUAAGAAAGUGUGAAACCACGGAGGGUAUUUGAAGUUUGCCCAAAAUUAAAUUAUAUGUUUGUAUAUAAAGUCCAACCGGUGUGCUUUCAAAUGAAGGCUUCAGUACUUUCAAAUUAUUUUCAAUAAUAAGACAUUCGAUUCGAUGAUCUGCGCAAUUAGAUAUAAUCUACAGUAUUAGAACUAUCUCAAAAUCAAAUCUUAUAAUUUUCCAUCAUUAUUUGUCAAGUGAUCAAAAGGUUUGAAAAUUGAUAAUUUUAAAGGCUGAUGUGGUACGUCUGUAAAUUCAACAGUAUAAAACAAUCUAAAUUAUAUGAAAUUUUAAUAAAAAAACUCUUUUUACCAUCAAUAGCAAAAUUUUUAUUUUCGAUCUAAAAUUUAAGUUUUCUAUCACAAUUUUUUAUGAGAUAUUUAUUUCAAUAAUUAUUUUGGGACUACUUGUUUACUAGUCAAAUGAUGUCAAAAAUUAUAAAUUUUGGUUUCCAAAUAGUUUUAAUAAUAUAGAUUAUGUUUACAAUAACGUAGAUUACAUUUAACAAGUUGAUUGUCGAAUUGAAUGUCCGAUCAUAAAAAUAACUUUAAAAUAUGGUGGGUUUCGUACUUCAAAGCAUACUAACCUAGUUCUCUCUCUUUCUAUCUCUCUCUCAUUAUAUAAUAUACUCCCCCCCGGGUGCCCGCUCGCGCCCAUCGCAGCGCCCGCCCGCGCUCACGCCCGCUCGCCGCCGCACGUCAGCGUUGUGGCCACCGAAGCCCGAUCACGGAGAGGGUUGUUUACUACUUUUGUUUUCACAAUUCAAAAAUAGAUAUUGAUGUGUGUGGGGAGGUGGUGUUGGUGGUGAAGGUGUGCUGGGUGGAGGUGAUGGUGAUGAAAAAUGUGAGAGAAAGAAGAGAAAUUAGGUAGAAAUUGAAAGAGAGAAGAAAUUGAAGAAAUAAAAUAAAAAAAUAAUCUAGCCACCCAUCAAUUCUGAUUAAUGGCUGAAAACUGGGAACGUAAGGAAUGUUUGUGCUCAAUAAUUAUACAGUAUCUGCUAUAUUAGAGUAGGGGUUACUGUGUAUUAGAAGCAUAGUAGCUCUUAUACUUCUAACUUUCAUCUAUCCAUCAAUUUUGAUUGAUGUUAGAUGAGAAAAAGAAAAAAAAAUUGGUGAAAAUUUAAGUGCCUCAAUUUCUCUCACUUUUUGAAUUUCUUGACCGUCUUCUAAACGCACAGUAGCCUCAUAUAUAUAUAUAUAUAAUAUAUAUAUAUAAUAGAUGCGGCUAGGAUGUUUAUGGAAGCACGAGAGCUCCGCGCUUCCACUUUGUUUUCGAUGUUUGGACUUUCAAUCGACGAUCGGCUCCGUUAGACUUGAUCUAGAGUAUUUGAAGUACCUAGAAAAUAAAUUUUGUGAUUUUUCGAUAUCAUUUGCCAAGUGAUCGAAGGGCUCAAAAUCAACGGCUGAAAAUAAAAAUCUUACAAAAUAUGAUGAUAAUGACAUUAAAAUUUUAGAUCUAAAGCUAUUGAUCUUGUUUUAUAUGGUAUAAAGAAUUUUCUAUCAAAUUUCAUGUGAUUUGAAUAUUUCUACACCGUUAAAUUGCAACCGGCUCACCACGACCGUUAAAAUUAUUGAUUUUGAGCCCCUUCGAUCACUAGGCAAAUGAUAUCGAAAAAUCGCAAAAUUUAUUUCUAGUUACUUCAAUACUCUAGAAUCAACUCUAACGGAGCGAUCGUUCGAUUCGAAAGUCCGAAACAUCGAAAACGACUUGGAAAGCACGGAGGCCUCCGUUACUUCCUAUAAGCAUAACCAGCACAACUCCCUCGUCGCUCUCUCCUCCAUCUCUCUCCUCUCGUUCUCGUCUCUCCUCUCCUCUCUCUCUCUCUCUAUAUAUAUAUAUAUAUAUAUAUAUAUAUUACUAUACUAUUAAUAGCACCACGUCAUUGUUGCUGUUAAAUUUUCGGUCCUUCAAUGAAGUGAUGUGCAGUUAAGAUAAUAGUUGUUCCCUAGGAUUCAAUGGGUGAUUGGUUGAAUAGUAUAAUCUAACGGAUGAAAAUGGUUAAAGGGGUAGAUUUAACAUCAAAAAACUAGGUACAAUACGUGCAAAUGCACAUCACAACUAUCUUAAUAGUUAAUCUCAAAGCAACAUAUAAAUUUGUAUAUUAUAUUUGCGCAAAAAAUUAUAAUUAAAAUUUAAAAUUUUAAAAAGUAAAUUUAUAAUAAAUUAUAAAAUUUAUUUUCUAGAUACUUCAAAUACGGUAGAUCAAAUCUAACGGAGUCAAUCGUUGAUUCAAAAAUUCAAUCAUCGAAAGUAAUUUAGGAGCACAAAGGCCUCCGUACUGCUAAGAGCAUAGCAGCUCUUGUGCUUCUAAGUUCUUAACCGCUCAUCAAAUUUAAUGGGUGGUUAGGGUGAAAGAGAGAAGAGUAAUUAGAGAGAAAUUGAGUUUCUUAAUUUCUCUUCUUUUUGAAUUUCUCUCUAAUUUCUUUUCUCCCAUUCACUCUAGCCACUUACCAAAUUUGAUGGGCGGUUAAAAACUUAGGAGCACAAGAGCUGCUGUGCUCCUAAUAGCACAGUAGCCCUACUAUAUAUAUAUAUAUAUAUAUAGUUCGGCUACUAUAUUUUUAUGAGUAUAGAGUCUAUUAUACUCAUAAGUUUUUGGCUAUUAGAUCUACCCUUUAAUCAUUUUCACUUGUUAGAUUAUACUAUUCAACCAACCACCCACUAUCAACCUAACCGUAACUACUUUCAUCCUAACGACACAUUUUUUCACCUGAACGGUUGAAAACUUAUGAGUACAAAAGGCUCUAUACUCAUAUGAGUAUAGUAACCCCAGCCAUAUAUAUAUAUAUAUAUAUAUAUAUAUUGAAGUAUUGCUAAUAUUUUUCAAAUUAUGAUGAAACCAAAUUUAAAUACUAUUUUAAACUAAAAGUAUUGAAAUUAAAAUUCCCCUUAAUUCAAAUUUAAAGUUAAUUGAUUUGCUUUAAUUAACAUUUAUAAUUAUGAAUUCAAAUUGAUAUCCAAAAUUAAAUUGAAGUCACGAGUUAAACUCACAUUUAAUUUAAAUUUAAUAAUUCAUAAAUUUAGAUUUAAAUUGCAUAAUUAAAUUUAAUUAUGAUUUAAGAUGAAAUAAAAUUUUAAAUUUAAGAAGAUUAAAUUUAAUAUGUAUUUAAAAUUAAAUAAAAUUUAAUUGUAUUUCAGUCAAUAAAAGUUAAUAUAACAAUAAUAUUAGUUAAUAGUAUAUGAUAUAAUUUGAAAAUUAUCAUUUUUAAAAAUAAUAUAUAAAAAAAUUUAAUAAAAAAUAAAGUUAUUCGUUAGAAAAAAAGGAAUUUAAAUUUUUUCGUUUAUCCUAUUUCUUUUGGUGUAAGAAAAAGAAAAGCACUACAAUUUUUUCUGCUAAAAUGGAUUAGUUGAUGGGAUCUAAAUUAAAAAAAUACAUGAUUUUAUAUAUAAUUGAUAUAGAUAUGCAUUUUAAAACGAAUAGAGGGUACGGAAUCUUUAAUAACGUAAGUUCUUAUGAAUAUUAUAUUGAAAUAUAUUAAGAUUUAAUUUUUACUUUCUGUGCUUAAUUAUUUUUAUUUUUAUUUUUAUUGUGUAAAAUAUUAUUUAGUUUCGCUUUUGUAUUCUAAAUUUAUAUAAGAAAAAACUACAAAUAUUAUCCAUAUUUUCUCACUUUACUAUCAUGUGGUUUAAAUUAUAUCAGUUUAGUGCCCCUUGGUUUUAUCUUUAUUUUUUUAUUAUCGAUUUUACUAAUUUUUUUUAUUAAAUCAGUGACAAAAUUAAAACUAAAAAAUAAAGUAAAUAUUCGAUAAACUUAGAUGGGUUAUCUAAAGUUUUUUUAUAUAUAGUUUAACGAAAUAUUAACAGAAAAGUUGACGAAAAGAUAAAAAUGAAACCAUAUGACAUUAACUUGGUAAACUUUAGAUCACAGAAUACUGAAUUGAGAAAGUGUGAAAAUAUAACGGUGAUAUUGAAAGUUUACCCUUUGUAUAAAUAUCAUCGUUGGGUCCACAGUUUAUAUCGCCGGACCUGGCGCACGCAACGUUCCUCACGGGUUAGGCAAUCGACCGGGUCCACAGUUCAACAUCUUCAUGUGUAGGUCGGUUUGGUCGGUCCCAAUGAAACGCAAUAAUUACGCGAACAACACGGUAGACCGGGUCCAACAUUAAAUACUCUUAUUAUUCAAUGCUCAACCGCUCAAAGAGUCGGCGUUUGUUUUUAGGGUUUCGUCCGAAGCGCGUCUCGGAAAAGCUGUAACGUGGCCAUCACGUAGCGUCCUUAUCGGGAAGCGUUACGGGCGAUGGUAACCGACGAUCGCCCGUACCCCCCCCUCACCAAACAAAAAAAUUAGAGGCGGUUGUCACCGGUGAUCACCCGUAGCCCUCAACCUAAUCAGGAAAAAAAAUAUGGUGCAAUUACUUUAUAUAUAUAUUCCUAAAAUAUUUUUUACUUUUUAAUUUACUCUUUUUAAAAAGAAAUAUUAAAAAUAUUUUUUUAAUAUUUCAAAUUAUUUUAAAUAUAACUUCGGAGUUAAAUCUUAUUACUAAACUAUUAGCAACGUUAUCUCUAUAAAAUUUUUAUUUUACCUUUUCAAAUAUAUCUUUCCAUGGUCACCAAUUUUUUAAAUAUACCUUUAGAGUUAAAUUUUAUUACUAAACUAUUAUUUCUAUAAAAUUACUAUUUUACUUUUUUUAAAUAUAUUUUUUCACAAUCACCAAUUUUUUUAUUUAACUUUUCAAAUAUAUCAUUCUGUUUUUACUAAAUUUUUUAAUUUAUUAUUAAAUUAAGGUCAACCUGUUUAAUUAUAAAAAACUAAGUCUUGUGGGCAUGUACUAUAAUAUAAUUUUAUAUAUUUUUAUAAAUUUUGUAUAUAUUUAUACGCACAAAUACUAAUUUAUCUUUAUCGAGUGGGUAAAGUAGGUCAAUACAUAUAUUAAUUGUUUAAUAAAUACAGGAUAAACUUCAAAUAUCAUUUCUUAUCGUUUAGUAUUUUCUCAUUUUUAAUAUUCUAUGAUUUAAACUGCAUCAAUUUAGCAUUCUGUAAUUUUAUUUUUUUCUUUUGGUAAGUCCUCCGUUAACUUUUCGUUAAACCAUAUACAAUAAUUUUCAGAUGCUCCACCUAUAAUUUAUUAAAAUUUUAUUUUAAUAUAUUUUAUUUUAAACUUUGUAAUUAAUUUAAUAAAAUAAAAAAAUUAAUAUAGAGAAUAGUAAAAAAAAAUUACGGAGUAUAAAAUUAAUAUAUUUUAAAUCUUAAAAUACUAAAAUAAAAAAAAAGUAAGAAACACAUAAAUGAUAUUUAUUAGGAAAAACUUCAAAAACCCCCCUGUAGUUUCGUAGUUUUUCACUUUGCUUCCCUGUGAUUUAAAAUGUAUCAAAUUGCCCCUGUGUGGUUUCGUUUUUAUUUUUUCGGUAGCUUUUUCGUUAAUAUUUUAUUAAAUUAUAUACAAAAAACUUCAGAUACCCAUCUAGAUUUAUCAAAUAUUUAUUUUAGUACCUUUUAAUUUUAACUUUAUCAUUGAUUUAAGAAAAAAAAUUAAUAAAAUUAAUAAAAAAAGAGAAAAAAAAAAAUUAUCGGGAGCAAAUUGAUACAUUUUAAAUCACAGGACGAUAAUUGAGAAACUACGAAAUCAAUAGAGGUUUUUGAAGUUUCCCUAUUUAUUAAGCGGAUCAACCAAUUUCUUCCCCACGUCUCACGUUUGAGCGGGUAACCGGAAACGGACAGCUGUCGGUCGCCACGUUCCAUCUCAGCACCCACUACCGACGCCGACUCGUCUCCCGCGUUUCGCCCACCGGCGAAGAUCUUUUUUUAUUCGGUCGCAACUCGCACGAUACUUGAGGCGGCUAACUAGGUCCACACGACUUUGCCCUCCAUCUGCAUUAUUAUUACACCAAUGCCCUUCCAUCCCAUCAUACAGCUGUACAAGUCACCUUUAUAUUAUUUUAUUAAAAACUUGACGGAAUAAGUCCUUUUCCUCCUUUUAUUUUUAAUUUAAUUCGAUGGGAGGGGGAGGACAGCGUCUCCUCAAAGUGGCAUUACCGUAAUUUCUUGCAACGACAAGGGCAUACGCUUGGCUCCGUCGCCUAAUCGCCAUCAUUCACCGUCCAUUCAUCGUUUCCCGAAUCCAACGGCGCUCGAUCUCUCCUCCUCUCUAUAUAAUUCUAUUCCCCUCCUCCCCGCUGUAUCUCACAUUUCUCUCCCAUCUCUCGUUCGUGCGGUAACCUCACCUGCGUGCGUCCAUGUCCACGGUGGUGCUCCGAUCUGAGGACGCUCUCAAAUCCCGCUUCCACGCCAACGCCUUCGGAUACCGUCCUCAGCCUCCGAUGAACCCUCACCGGCGAAAGCCUCCGCCACCAGCGCGCCCCGCCGCCGCCGCCGCGGCUGCGCCGCCCUCUCCUCCGUCCCACAAACCGAGCCGCGCCGCCCCGGCGCGAAUCGGCCGGAAACCUAGACCCGCCGCCGGAGUCGGCAAGGAGAACGACGGCGGCCCCGCCGACGAGCUCCGCCACCACCGCCGGCGCCUCGUCAUGGAGGAGGUCACGAUCCUCAAGCGCGGCGAGGCGAUGAAACCCUCGGCCCCCGUUCCCCCCGGAUCCAACGUCGGAGACGUUCCGAUCGACCUCAAUCGGAGAAAGCUAGGGUUUCCAGCCGUAGACCCGGUCUUCGCCGGGCCCGGGUACUCCGUCUCCUCCCCCGCGCCGAGCUCCCUCCCCUACCCCGGCCUCUUGCUGAGGCCCCUCGCCGCGAGCGAGGAGGCGACGAGGAGCCUUCUCCGCCUCCUCCGGCUCAAUCAAUUCGCCCCGUGACGGUGCUCGUAGUUUCGAAUCGAUUCGCCGCGAAUUCGAGCCGAAGAAAAUUGGGAUUUUGAUGGCAGUUUGAAGAAGAUACGCCGUGGGCUGCGGAGAUCCGCGGCGGUUUCCGCUAGGGUUUCUCCGAUCACAUCACCUUCCUCUAUUUUUUCAAAAGGAAGGCGUGAUCCGGAGAAGCCCCGAUCUGUUUGUCUUUGUCGGCCACAUCUGAUUCGGUAUGUUGUGGUGUACUCUGCAUCUUGUCCUUUGUUCUUGUUCGGAUGGAAAAUUCUAGCGGAAAUUAGAUUCCAUUGUAGUAUGCGUAUUGGUAACCUAAAUUUAAGGGGAUUAGAUAGAUAUAGUAAUUGUGUGAGUUGUGUCUAAGUAUCAAGGAGAGUGAUGUUCCUAGUAGUUUGGGGUUUAGAUCACAAAUUGUUUUGCUUUAUCUAGUUGUGGAAAAAGUGGUGAUAAUUUUAGAGUGGGUGUGUGUACUUGUCAUGGAAUGAGGUCUAGUAAUUUUAGGUAUUUGAUGUUAGUGUUGGUGUACUAGUCAUGAAUCGAAGUUUAUUAUAUUACAUUGCUCUUUUUAGCGUCCGAGAAUGAGUGUGCAAUUCAAAUUGUCAACUUUUCAGUUAGAUUUAUCAUUGUUCAAUGUGUCUAUGCUCGAUUUUGUCGUGCAAUUAGAAUGUGUGAUCUGUUGUGUGUUAUAGUUGUGCUUGCGAAACGAAAAGAAAAAAAAUAACGGACUUGUUUUUUUGCCUUGGGUUCUUGCCUUGGGUUCUGUCACGCUUCGGCACCGCUACUGCCACUUUGGUCGGUUCGGGCAUGAGCAAAGAUCGCCGAACGGACAGAGUUUUUCUUGUCCGCUAACAUGGUGAAUGCUUGUAUUAGUGUAGUUGUUUUAUAUUUUGAUGUUUUAUGCAAUCUGUGUGUGAAUUCUGUUUCUAGUUAGAACCAUUUGAAUUGUACUGAUUGUGGCGCCUUGAGCGGAUAGGAAAAUUCUAUUCGUUCGGCGGUCUGUCUACGUGCCCGAACUGACCAAAGUGGCGGUCUUGGGACUUGACAGGUUCGCCUAUGGGACUUGGCCUGGUUCGUGCCAAACUUAAAUGGUCGGAAUUCGGUAAAUCUUCAACUAGGAACUGAUGAACUCCAACAAUAUGAGAUUUUGGCCUAAAACUCUGAAUGACCAAAACGUCGUCAUUAAGAUGAACUGCAGGCUGCUAUUCUCAACUGAUCUAAACUAUUUUACUUUUGGUAAAAAGAUGACAAUGUCUGUACUUUAGAAUCGGCUGUACUUUAGAAUCGUCUGAACAAUUGAUGUGCUGUUGCUGUCGUGUUGAAGAGAGUUUCUAAUUGAUGUGUUGUUGUUGUUGUGUUGAAGAGAGUUCUUUUCUCAGGUCCCUGCGGCAUUUAAUAGUCUGCAUGAUUUGAAUCAGACUCCUAUUAUUUUUGUUAACUCGAUAAUUUUGGCCGAAGCUUAUCUUGUAACUGAAUCUCGAUAACUUAGGCCAAAUUCAAUAACUUAGAGACCCCUAUCUCUUCCUAAACAGGUAAUGGGUUGGAUUGCCUUCUGCUCUCUCUGUCCAACGACUGAAUUUGGCUUCAACAAGUUGUGAAUAAGAAAAAAUAUACAAGUUGUGUUAUAUAAUGGUUUAAUAAAUCAAAAGAGUAAUUACGAGAAUUGCAAUUAGAUGAGUCAAUGAUUUGGUUAGUAGUUAUGAUAAUAAUGAUAAUAAUAAUUAUGAGGAUACUGUCGCCGUAUAAUUGAGAUUGGUACCAAAGGUUUUGCAGAUUGGUUUGUAAGUUUCGAACUUGAACACCUAGAUAUUUAAUCCUUUUAUGAUGAGAUAUGAUGAUUAUUUAAGUAUGCUGAAGUGAUUGUCUUAAAAUAUGAUUAAAUGUGAAUAUUUCUAUUUGAAUGAUGGUUAGUUUCACAAUUGAAAUGAUCAGUAACCGGGGUUAGUAUCCUAUUUCCCCUGCACAGUUGCACAGUAGAGUUCAAUGUUAUAUUGGUUCUGAAUAUUCUGCACUUUGGUAUUUAAACAGAAAUGCAUUGUCUUAAAAGUAUCACAAAUGAAAUUAGGAGUGUUUGUAACUUUUUGAUUUGAAAUUAAAGAAUUUCAACACUUCUUUGAGUGAAAAAUAGAAUCGGGAGCUCGAGUAUGUUUAGUUUAAUUUUAAUCUGUGAAAUUCUGAAGUUUGGGGGCGCAAGAUACAUAAACUGUGUUUAGCAUAGCUUCUCCUCUUUAUUCAGAGUCUGCAUUGAUAUGAUAAAUUUUGUGGUAAUGUAAUUGAGAAGUUCAUUUAGAAGGCCAUAGUGUGGCUAUUCCAAUCCAAGGAGCCUCAUCAGUUGAACAGCUAAGCUAUUUAGGGGUCAUUCGUUUUACAGAUUUAUAAUAUUCUAGAAAUGUUAGCAUAUUUGUUAUUAACUUAUCAUAUUAUUUGAGUGAGGAGGUUGUUAAAAACUUAUCAUAUCAUGAGUGAGGAGGUUGUUAAAAUAAAAACUUAUAUAUUCUUGUUAAUGGACAUUCCUUCCAAGUAUAAAAAUGACAGAGGCUCUGUUUGCACAUCGGAAUAGUAUACUCAGUAAUAACUGAUUUGGUAUGAGGAUGUUUUGUGUGAUUAGAAGUUAGGUUGAAGAAAAUUCUUGUGUGAUUUGAGAAAAUAAUGACAUUUAUGACUCGGUAGAAUAGUAUAUUUUACUUGCGAGGUAAUUAAUCUUAGGUGAAAUCACAUAUAACUUAUCCAAAUUAUAGAUCGUUUGUUUUGGCUUCCAAAUCUUUUAAAAUUUUGAUUUCACUAUUCUACAUUCAAUUUUUUUUUAUUUAAGUUAGUUAACGACAUUUUGACUUCAAAAUUAGAAUAUAUUAUUCAUGUGUUGAAGAUUCAAUUAGUAUUGAAUAAUUAAUUUGCUUAAUUUUAAAGUCAAAGUGCCGUUGAUUGAUUGGUAGUAGAGUUGGGAGUGUCAACAAUGUAAUUAUCAAAUCGUAAUAAUGACCGGAAUACUGAAAUUGGGUCUUUUUGGCCUAAUUAUCGGGUUGGGUGUGCUUGGCCGUGCUUGUUGCUGGCCAUAGAUUCGUUAUGGUCGCAUUCCAAGUGGAAAUGACUCGGGAGUGAUCUUGUGGUUGUCGACUAUCCGGAUGCUGAAAUUGGCAUCCUUGGAACUUCUUGGGGCGGAAACUUUGUCGUUUUGGCACAUUGGUUGUGCUCUUGGACUAUGAAACUUGUGGAAUGUUUUUCGGAGGUUCCUCGCUAAUUGAAACUAGCAGUAUGGGUGUUUCUAUCUUUUGUUGGUUCAUGCGCCAAGAUUGGCACACGUUGGAAACCAUUGCGGCUUAGUUUUGGAGUUGAGGCCUCUAUGGUUGCACACCCUAUGUGCAGUUGUCUCAACACCUAAAUUGGAGUAUCUGGGGACAACGAGUUAUCUAAAUUGGAGUAUCUGGGGACAACGACUUAUCUAAAGAGACCUACGACUAUGCUCGAGACCUUUAAUGGGUUGAUUGGAGGUCUUGGCGAGGUUCGAAAAUUGAUUAAAGAAAUCAAUGUUCUAAUCGCACUGGUUCUUGUUAUUGGCUACUUAGUAAUGUGGAUUGUUGUUGACUUGAUGUUUGGGAUUUGUUUGGACUCUAGUAGAGUCGGCUCAUGGGGUUGUUCUAGUUUCAGAAGUUGAAUUUUGAAACCAAUGCUUCGAAUAUGUUGUUGUGCACUUUGUUGUGGUUUGUGUGUGUCAGUUUAUGUCACGGACGCGUAAUGGCUUGUAUUGAUGCUCUGGUGAUUAUGUUUAGGUUCACGAGACACCUAGAGGCAUUGGAGUCGCGAACUCAGAUAUACCUGGUAUAUAGAUGGGUUUUUAGAUCCAUAGUCGGUGUAGUAGUAUUGUACUCGAUUAUUCUAUUAUGCUUCUAAUAUGUAUCCUAUUGAGUAGAUCGAUUUUAUUUUGCUUCAUUAUUAUUCCUGUGUUUUGCUCUACCUUUUAGCUAUGGGCAUCGUUAUAUCAUGUUGUGGGUGAUAACCGGUUGGUAGAGUGGUUUAUAUAGAUCAUUAUGAUAUUAUACGUGUGUGUUUACUCUACAUAUCGACUUACUAUUAUAUUUAUCUUUACAUGCUACAUGGCUAUCAUGUAUGUGUCCCUUAUCAUGUUGGAUGUAUGACGCGUAGAUUAUAGUGUAAGAAUGUUUUAAUCACGUCUGUCUAUCAAGUACGUGUUCAGAUGCAUUUUAUCUAUUGGAUCGACCUGUAUCCUUAGGAAUUGUCUUGAAUAAAUGUAAUGGCUGGGGUGUAGAGAAGAUUAGGGCAAGCAUGAGAGUAACCAGAGUAGAAAGAGGAAAAGGGUAUAGAGGGGAAGAGAGGUAGAUUCGGUGAGAUCCAGAGGAAUAAAGGUGUAGUAGUGGUCUUGGUAUUGGGUCGGCUGGGUGAAUACCCGGUCGAAUUGUACUUGUUGGACGUCCAUGGCAGAGGGCGCUAGGCUCAAAUUGCUCAGCAAGCAUGUCCAUGCCUUGGAGCAAAGGCUGCAGGGGCUGGCAGUGGGGAACAAUCGAAAGUUCGAGGAGCUGAAUUGAAAGAUUAAGGCUAUGCAAGCAGAGGACUAGAACCAUUAUGAAUCCCUGCGAUGCGAAACUGCAAAUUCAUCGAAGAGGCCGGAGCAACUUAUGGAUCUAUUAUCGAAUCAGCAGCAAUUAUCAUCAUCGAAGGAACUCGCAAGCUGGACAAUGGCACCAAGAGUAUCUAAAAGGCCAAUGUUGUGCAGUGGCUCAGUUGAUUAGCCUAGAAGAAGAGAAGCAGGAAGAGAUACCCGACCAAAUACGAAAUAUGUUGCAGAAAUUGGAGGAUGUGUCUCAUGAGCCGCAGGGGUUGCCUCCUAUUAGGCCACAAGACCAUAAAAUAUCCUUGCAGAAAGGAGCACAAGCAGUCAAUAUCAGAUCAUAUAGUUAUACAGAGAAGUAGAAGUACGAAAUGGACAAGAUUAGAGAGAUGCUAGAUACCGGAGUGAUCCAACGUAGUAACAGUCCAUACGCCUCUCUGGUCCUAUUAGUUAAGAAAAAGAAGAAAAAGGAUGGGAAUUGGAGGUUUUGCAUUGAUUAUCGUCAACUGAACAAGCUCACAAUUGAGAGUAAGUAUCCGAUACCCAUAAUCGAUGACUUGCUAGAUGAGUUAGGAGGUUCGAGAUAUUUUUUCAAGAUAGACUAGAGGUUUGGGUAUUAUCAAAUACGAAUGUGCACCGAUGACAUACCAAAGACGACCUUUAGAACUCAUAUGGGCUAUUAUGAGUUCAGAGUCAUGCCUUUCGAACUCGCGAAAGCCCCAGUGACCUUCCAAUCUGUAUUUGCUAUUCUACUUUGUAGGUAUGUUUUGAUUUUUUUUCAACGAUAUAAUGGUAUACAGUAGGACAUUAGAAGAUCACGUUGCCCAUUUGGAAGAAGUGUUAAGAAUACUUGAGGGAAAUUGAUUGUUCACAAAAAGUCCAAACGCUUCCUUGGCCAGGAGCAAGUUGAGAACCUAGGACACAUUAUCACUCAGCAGGGGGUGGCUACGGACCCAAGUAAGGUGGCAGCUAUGCUGCAAUGGGUAGCACCUAUGUCAAUUAAAGGGGUUGAGAGGAUUCCUGGCCUCACAGUAUACUACCGCAAGUUUGUUCAAGGGGUAUGGAGCUAUAAGUAAAUCCCAUGCUAAACUUUUGAAGAAGAAUAGUUUCCAUUGGACAAUAGAAGCGCAGGAAGCUUUCAACAAAUUGAAGAAGUUAAUGAUCGAGGUCCUCGUGCUCGCCAUGCUCGACUACUUCAAGCCAUUUGUGGUGGAGGUAGAUGCUUGCGACUAGGGAAUAAGGGUUGUAUUGACAUAAGAAGAUAAACCCUUAGCUUACCUUAGUGGCCAUUAGCAAGAAAUCCGGGGUUGUCCACAUAUGAAAAGGAAUUUCUUGCUAUACUAUUAGCAGUCUCUAAGUGGCGGCGUUUUCUUAAGUAUGAAGCAGUUUAUCAUCAGAACGGAUCACGAGAGUUUAAAGCACUUUAUAGAGCAAAAGAUCAACACUGCUACCCAACAGGAAAGGAUGCUUAAGUUGAUGGGACUCAACUAUAUAAUACAAUACAAGAAAGGAAGAGAGAAUAGGAUGGCGGAUGCCUUAUCACGCAAAGAAAUUGAGGAGAGCAGUAGUCAAGCCAUUUCGGGAGCCAUUCCAGCUCGGGUAGUUGAGAUAACCAACAGCUAUCAGGGAGAUGAAGAGUGUCAGAGACUGAUAGCCCAGUUAACAGUACAGCUAGACACUUAAGGAGCCUACAAUUAUACACAGGAGCUGCUACAAUACAACGAAAGGCUGUAUGUGGGAUCAGGAGAGGGGAUCAGCAGAAGUUACCCAGUCAAAUGCAUGACUCAACCCUAGGAGGCCACUCUGGACAACAAUAUACCUAUACAAGGAGCAAGAAGAUAUUUUACUGGCCAAGGCUCAAAAGUGAUGCGGAGAGGAUAGUAGGGAACUGCACGGUAUGCAUACAGAACAAGUUCGACAAUCAGCCUUACAUCAGUAAGAAAAGUGUCAAAGAUUGAUAGCCUAAUUAACAGUACAGCCAGGCACCCAAGGAGCGUACACUUAUACACAGGAGCUACUGCGAUACAACAAAAGGCUGUAUGUGGGAUCAGGAGAGAAGAUCAACAGAAGUUACUCGGUCAAAUGCAUGACUCAACACUAGGAAGCCAUUAUGGAUAGCAGUAUACCUAUAGAAGGAUCAAGAAGAUAUAUUUUACUAGCUAGGGCUCAAGAGUGAUGUGGAUAGUGAGGAACUGCAUGAUAUGCAUACAGAACAAAUUCGACAAUCAGCCUAAUGCUGAGUUGCUACAACCGAUACCAGUUCCCCACCAAGUAUGGAGUGAAGUAAGUAUGGACUUCAUUGAAGGACUACCAAGGUUGGAAGGAAAGGAUUCUAUAAUGGUGGUAGUUGACAGAUCCACGAAGUAUGCCUAUUCUAUUCCUCUUACUCCUAUACGGCUUCAGUGGUGGCCAAAGCAUUCUUCGACACGGUGUACAGACUACAUGGACUGUCGGAAAAGAUCAUUUUUGAUGAGGAUAGAAUCUUUACAAGCGAAAUAUGGUAAGGACUAUUCAAGAUAUUUGGGACCAAGCUAUACAUGAGUUUGCCCUAUCACUCCCAGACUGACGGGCAAGUAAAGAGGCUUAACCGAUGUCUGGAGAUCUACCUCUGAUGUAUGUGUUUACAACACCCCAAAAAAUGGCAUAAGUGGAUCACACACGCGGAAUGGUGGUACAACUCGAACUAUCACACUUUAUUUGGGAUGACUCCCUACGAGGCCUUGUAUGGGAAGCCACCGCUGAGUUAUAUAAUGGCUAAUUUUACACAGAACUCAACGAGUGAGGCAACCGGAUGGGGCUAAGUAGAGAAAAAAGAUGGCUAAGGGGUUAAUAAACAACCUCUUAAGGGUGCAAAACAGGAUGAAGCAGUUUGUCGACCGCCGUAGGGUGGAUCGAGAGCUUAAUGUUGGCGACUUGGUUUACUUGAAGCUGCAAUCUUACCGUCAACAAAUGGUGGCAGUGCGAAGGAAUCUCAAACUGUCGUCUUGCUAAUUUGGAUCCUUCAAGAUUUUAGAAAAGAUCGGACUCGCAGCCUACCAGCUGCACAUGCCGGAGAGGUUGAAGGUACAAUCAAUUUUCUAUUUCUCUCUGCUGAAAAGAAGUCCACCUGAAGAAAGACCCGUCUCAAUUAUCGUGCCUUUUGCUGGAGAUGACGGCCAGUUGCUGGCGGAACCUGUAGAAAUCCUCAACCGGAAUAUGGUACGGCGCGGAAACAUAGUAACCCAAAUUCUGGUAAGGCGGAGCAACUUGUCCUCUAACCAAGCAACCUGGGAGUAUUACUUGUUCCUCAAGUCACAAUUCCUGACUUUCUAUUCUUGAGGACAAGGAUUAUUUUGAAGAGGGAAGGAUUGUAAUGGCUGGGGGCUGAGGAGAUUCGAGCAAGCAUGACAGUUACCAGAAUAGAAAAAGGAAAAGGAUAUAAAGGGAGGGAGAGGUAGAUUCGGUGAGAUCUGGAAGAAUAAAGUAGUAGUUGUGUUGGUAUUGGGUUGGGUGAUCCGAUAUCGGGUCGAAUUGUACUUGCUGGACUGAGGGUUGCUCAUCGAGCUAGGCCCAACAGGAAAGUCCAGCCUGAUAGAGGAUUGGGAGCUCAGAUGAUCUAUUUGGAUAUUCCAUUUCUCUUAUUGUCCUUAGUUUUAUGAAAUUGCAUGUUACUCCUUAUGUAAUAGAUAUAAAUAGUAAAAAGGGUAUAAAGUGUAAAGGAUAAUGAUGAACAAAAUUACUUUCUUCUUCGUCAAUCUCUUUCCGCUCCUUUUUCUUUGAUCUUCUCCUCUUUCUCACUCACCUUCGACUUAAUUUGAGGAUUCUAUCAUCUCCAUCCUGAGAUCCUCAGAGCGAGAUCAUCAUCUAAUCCCAUGAUAGAUCAGGGUAUUACAAUAAAAUCACGUAGGGCGCAUCCAACAAAUUAUACUCUUACAUUAUGCAUUUAUAGAAGAGAUUCUGUCUGUUUGUACAAAGGAGAUUCUAUUCAUAUAGUGGGUUUGUGCAUGCGGGGUAUAUUUUUUACUUUGGAAAGAAAAUUGCUGUGUCUGUACUAAAUUCUGUUUUUAAUAUAGAAAGGUUAAACAAAAAAAGUCUCAUAGCAUGACAACUGCGAUUUUAUGUUUUAACAGAUUUCUUAAUUUUUGUUCUCCAUUUUUACAAUAUUGUUUAUUAGAGAUGGAUUUUUUUUUUUGAGAAAUAGGUAGCAUGCUACCCGCUUCGUUUAUUUUAUUUAGAAAUAAAAUUAGCUGAAAAUAUGAAUCAAUUAGGAUUCGAACUUGGAAUCUCGGAUACCAACCACCAAGCUCUUUGCCACUUGCACUAGGGAUAGUUGGUAUCUGAGAUGGAAAAUUGACAAGAAAAAGGGGAUGGUGAGUGUGUUGGAUGUGGCUCACGUGAUAUAUUCAAGUCGAUCCAUAGAGAUACGGUCAAUCUAUUUAAGUCGAUCUAUAAAGAUACUGUAGAUCUUACGGUUAGGAUGUAUUUGGACACGUCAUUGAUGGACGGACGUGAUUUAACAUUCUUAUAUUAAGUUAUAUAUAAAUAUAUAAUAUUCGGGAGUCUCGGUCUAACCCUAAUCCAAUUAUCUGUGACUGCUCCAUCUCCGGAGAUAAGGGAAUUAAACUCUAAACGUCUCGUCUUUUUGCAGAUCGCGAACGAGAACGAACCACUAGCAAAAGUCGCCGCCUACAAAUCGGGUACAGAAAUCGAAAUCAUGACAGAAGGUACGAUCUUAGUUUUUUAUAAAGUUUCAACAUGUGGUAUCAGAGCCGCAUCUUUUGCCGGAUUUUUGUUUCUUUCCGAAUUUCGUUUAAUUUUUUGUUUCCAUUAAAUAAAUAAAUAAGUUUGUUGAUGGUUUGCGUCAAUGAUGAUGUCGGCCGGCCUCAAUCGAGACCGGCGUUCGGAAGAACGGCGUCAUCGGCCCGGCCGAAUUAUGCGAUAACACAAAAAAAAAAAAUGUGGUCUGCGGUCGGUCGGUUGGUAAACCUGCAUCGCCACAUCAGUCGUGCUAGGAGCGGCCAAGAAGGGGUUGCGCUAUGCAUUCCCAUUAGGGCCGCAAGGAGGCAGCCCGUGAUGGGGCUGCCUAGCUGGCGAUCAAAGUAGUCAAGCACAAAAAAAAAAAAGAAAAAAAGGAAAAGAAAAAGUAAAGGGUUGCAGGUCGCAAGCCACGUGGCUGCCAUGUGUAGCCCCAUGCGGGGCCCACCGCAAAAGAAAAAAUUUUUUAUUUAUUUAUUUAUUUAUUUUUAACGAAAAAUAAAAAAAAUAUAGUUUUGCUUAAUAAUUUUCUUUGCAAUGUGACUUAUUUAGAGGAAGUCUAUAUAUUAAAGUUAUGUAUAACUUUUGGUAUUUGUUAUAUAUAAUUUCUGUUCUACUCGCUUGUUUAUUUAUGAUAUAAAAUAAUAUGUUUAGUUUAAUAUUUUACGGUAUAUUUUUUGCAUUAUUAUUCUAAACACACAUAAGGUGAUUAUGAAAAUUUAGAGUAGCGUAUAUAGACUUCACACAAUUUAUAAAUUUUAAAUCACAUAAGGUUUUUAAGAAAAUUAUUCAAGACUUUUAUUCUUUUUCUGCUGCGUUUUGGAAUAAUAUGAAAUUUUCGGUCAUUCAUAUCAUAUACGGACUUGUGAGAUCAACUAUGUCUAGGAGUAGCCACAGCAUCCUAGUCUUGGUAUAUGAUCACUUACGGUAUUUUUAUAAAAUGAUAUUGAAUUAAAGUUAACCCGAAAAUUCAUAUGGAUUUCCAAUUUAUUUUUAAAUAGUCAUUCAAUAUCAAUAAGGUUAUUUGUAUUUUUCGUUAUGCUCAAGAGUAACCACAGCAUCCUAUAGAUAAUGAAAAAUAUAUAAGGUAUUAUUGAUAUUCAAUUAAAGUUUGACUAUUUAUUGCAGCCAAACUAAAUAAUUUUCUGAAUUUUGACUGGAAUAAGAUAGUGGAUUGAAUUUCUAGAUAGCGAGCUUUUCUAUGCCCACAGGUACAGGAAUCUUGUUGCUUAGAAAUUAGUUUUAUAUUAGUCUUAUUAUUAAAAUAGAUAAAUUCUAUGCGUGUAGCGGCUCUGGCUACAGGAAGGUAGAAUUUAUCUAAUCUAAAAAUUAUUAUCUUAUAGUAGGCGAUAAAGUUCAAUAUUUUCUUUGUUUUUGCAGCUUCUUCCUCUACUGCAUUUCUUAAUAAUAUUUCUCGUAUCCCUAUGCUUAUUGGGGAUAAUUAUUCUGAUUGGAAAGAAAUUAUUUCUUUUACUUUGGGCUAUAUGGAUUUAGACUUGGCUCUGCGCGUUGAGCAACCGCCUAAGGUAGUGGGGCAACUGACUCCACAGCAGGAAUUCGAGCAGGAAAAGUGGGAGCGAUCCAACCACUUAAGUUUGAUGCUCAUAAAGUCUAGAGUAUCAAAAAAUAUAAGGGGAUCGAUUCCAGAAUGUGAUAAAGCCAAGGAUUACCUAAAGGCUAUUGAGGAGCAGUUUGUCAGCUUCUAUAAAGCUUGGCUCGAAAAGAAAGGUAUUGAAACUAUUUAUAUUUAUUAUGAAUUUCAUUUAGUUAAUAUUUCUAAAAACACAUGGUGGAUUGACUCUGAAACUACUGUACAUAUCUCAAAUACCAUGCAGGAUUUUCACAACCUAGCAAUAUUGAAGCCAAAUGAAAGAAUUUUAAUUAGCGGAGAAGGAAAUAAAUCUGAAGUUGAAGCCGUAGGAAAGUUUAUUUUAGAAUUUAGUACUAGUUUUGUACUUGAACUUGAGGAUACUUUUUAUAUUUCUAAAUUUUCUGGAAAUUUAGUUUCUGUUUCUAAAUUGAGAAAUAAAUGCUUCAAAUUUUUAUUUGAAAAUAAAUCUUUUACUAUGUUCUUCGAUAAUAUUAUUGUUGGCAAUGGUUAUUUGAUAGAUGAUUUGUACAAAUUUAAUUUGAGUCAAUCUUUUGAAAAUAAUUUUAAUGUUAAUAAUGGUAUUGGUGUUAAAAGAAACAUUCUUAAAGAAAACUCCUCUUAUUUAUGGCAUAAGUGUUUAGCUCAUAUCUCUUUAGAGAGAAUAAAGAGAUUGGUAAAAGAAAAGAUCUUACAAGGUCUCGACUUUACUAAUUUUGGUACUUGUGUGGAAUAUAUAAAGAGAAAGCAUACUAAUACAAAUAUCACUAAAGGUGCCAGAAGGAGUUUUGAAAUUUUUGAGAUCAUACAUACAAAUAUGUGGACGUUUUCCUACUCCUUAUUUCAAUAGUCAGAGCUAUUAUAUCUCAUUUAUUGAUGACCAUUCAAGAUAUAUGUAUCUCUAUCUUUUAUUUGAAAAAGCUGAGGCUUUUGAUGCUUUUAAAGUUUAUAUAAGGUUGAGAUAGAGAAACAAUUGGAUAGGAAAAUCAAGAUUGUAAGAUCCGACAGAGGGGAUGAGUAUUAUGAAAGACAUACGGAUAAAGGUCAAAUGACCGGUCCAUUUGCUCAAUUCCUCGAAGGUGAAGGUAUUAUUGCAUAGUAUACGAUGCCUGGCAUGCCCCAACAAAAUGGCGUUGCCGAAAAGAGGAAUAGAACACUCAUGGACAUGGUAAGGAGCAUGAUUAGCAACUUUUGUUUUCCAUCUUCUCUUUGGAGUGAGGCACUAAAAACAGCGGUGUAUAUUUUAAAUAGAAUUCCAUCGAAGGUUAUUUCCAAAACUUCUUUUGAGUUUGGAAAGGAUGGAAACUAGUUUAAAUCACCUGCAUGUAUGGGGAUGUCCAGCUGAGGUGAGGGUUUAUAAUUCACAUAUAAAGAAGUUGGAUUCCCGAACGGACAGUGAAUAUUUCAUUGGCUAUGCGGUAAACUCCAAAGGAUUCAGGUUUUAUUGUCCAAAUCACUCAUCCAAGAUAGUUGAGGCCAGAAAUGCCAAAUUCCUUGAGGAUUUUGAAGCUGGUGGGAGUGUUAUUUCUCAAAAGAUGAAUUUUGAGGAAAUAAGGGAUUCAAUUGGUUAUCCAUCAACAGAUAAUAAUCUAGUUGCUCUUCCAGGAGGUCAAUUUGACCGUAAUGGAGAUCAACUAAUCUUAGAACAUGAAAAUGCUGAAUCAGUUGAACCUCUCCAUGAAGAUCUGUCUCAAGAGGAACAAAUAAUUAUAGAGCCAGCUGCACAGAAUAAUAAAAAUCUGCAGGAAGAGGUUGGCUUAAGAAGAUCCUCAAGACAAAGGAGAUCGGCAAUUCCUGAUGAUUAUAAAAUCUAUUUUCAUGUGUCUGACUUUGAUGUCGGACACCAUAAAGACCCAUGAACGUUUUCAGAAGCCGGCAUGGAGAUAAAUCCUCCCUAUGGUAUGAUGCCAUAAAGGAAGAGAUGAAAUCUAUGGUGCAUAACAAAGUUUAGGAUCUCGUUGAGUUACCACAGGGAGUCAAAGCUAUUGGCUGUAAAUGGGUCUUUAAGACCAAAAGGAACUCUCUAGGUAAUAUAGAACGAUAUAAGGCCAGACUUGUUGCUAAAAGUUUCACUCAAAAUGAAUGCAUUGAUUAUCAUGAAACCUUCUUUCCAAUAUCAAAGAAAGAUUCAUUAAGAAUUAUUAUGACUUUGGUAACUCAUUUCGAUUUAGAGCUACAUCAGAUGGAUGUAAAAACGACAUUUCUAAAUGAGGAUAUAGAGAAGAUAGUCUAUAUGCAACAACCCGAAGGUUUUAGCACAGAUGAAAAUAAUCACCUUAUUUGCAGACUAAAGAAAUCUAUAUACGAACUUAAACAGGCUUCCCGUCAGUGAUAUAUUAAGUUCCAUAAUGUAAUUACUACAUUCGGUUUCGUAGAAAAUAUUGUAAAUCAGUGCAUAUACCUUAAGGCUAGUGGGAGUAAGUAUAUUUUUUUAGUCCUGUAUGUAGAUGACAUUUUGUUUGCAAGAAAUGAUUUGAGUUUGCUUAAAGAAACUAAAGAUUUUCUUUCUAAGAAUUUUGAGAUGAAGGAUAUGGGUGAGGCUUCUUACGUCAUUGGCAUAAAGAUUCACAGAAAUAGAUCUCAAAGAAUUUUCGGUCUAUCUCAGAAAGCCUAUAUUGAAAGAGUUCUAUAAAGGUUUAAUAUGGCGAACUAUGCACCUACAGCUGCGCCUAUUAUAAAAGAUGACGGGUUCAAUCAGAAAUAGUGUCCUCAGAAUGAUUUAGAACGAGUGCAUAUGAAGAGCAUACCCUAUGUCUCUGCAGUAGGGAGUUUGAUGUAUGCGCAGAUCUGUACCAGACCUGAUAUAGCUCAUGCAGUGGGGAUGUUGGGUAGAUACCAAAGCAACCCUGGCCUUGAUUAUUGGAAAGCUGCAAAGAAAGUUAUAAGAUAUUUACAGGGAACAAAGAAUUAUAUGCUCACCUACAGACAUUCUGAACAUCUUGAGGUGGUUGGAUAUUCAGACUCUGAUUUUGCUGGAUGCGUGGAUUCUAGAAAAUCUACAUCAGGAUAUAUUUUCUUAUUUGCUCAAGGUGCUAUAUCUUGGAGGAGCACUAAGCAGGAUACAGUUGCUACAUCCACUAUGGAAGCAGAGUUCAUCGCUUGUUAUGAGGCUUCGUCAUAAGUUUUAUGGCUGAGAAAUUUUAUCUCAGGUUUUAGAGUUGUCGACUCUAUCUCAAGGCUAAUUAAGAUUUAUUGCGACAACUCUGCUGCAAUGUUCUUUGCAAAAAAUAGUCGAAUUACAGAUCGCAGCAAACAUAUAUCGAUAUAAAGUAUCUUGCUGUGAAAGAAUACGACAAGAAGAAGGUCGAUAUCCAACACAUUAGGACUGAGAUGAUGAUUGCUGAUUCUAUAAGUAAAGCAUUGCCGGCAAACAAAUUCAAGGAUCAUAUUCAUCAUGUGGGUAUCUUGAGCCCAUUUACAGUUUAAGUGUUUUCUUUUUGUAUAAAGACUUUAAAAACUAUUUUUAUUUGAAUAAGAACACAUUUUGAUUUUUGCACAUAUGCGCAUAAAGUUAUCUUUUGUACAUAAAGUAUUAUUGUGCACUAAAGUAGGACUCUGAGUUGAACUUAUAAUAAGUUCAUAUGGUUGUAACUCAUAAAGUUAUUUGAUUAAGGAAUACGUGCUUUUGUUACAUGGAAGGGAGCGUUCAUCUUUUGGGGCAUAACCGCUAUGAUCAAAGUAUUGUGAUUUUUUGGUCGAGUGGGAGAUUUUGACUGUGUAAUUUAGUUGGUACCUAAUAAAGUUUCUGUUUCAUCUAUACAGUAAUAAAUAUAUCACAAGGCCAAGUGGGAGAAUGUGGAUGUGGCCCACGUGAUAUAUUCAAGGCGAUACAUACAGAUACGGUUAAUCUAUUUAAGUCGAUCUAUAAAAAUACUGUAGAUUUUACGAUUAUGAUGUAUCUGAACACGUCCUUGAUGGACGGACGUGAUUUAACAUCCUUACAUUAAAUUAUAUAUAAAUAUGUAACAUACGGAAGUCCCAGUUUAACCCUAAUCCAAUUAUCCGUGACGGCUCCAUCUCCGGAAAUAAGAGAAUUAGACUCGAAACGUCCCUUCUUUUUGCAGAUCACGAACGAGAACAAACCACGAGCAAAAGUCACCGCCUAUAAAUCGGGUACAGAAAUCGAAAUCAUGACAAAAGAUACGAUCUUAGUUUCUUAUAAAGUUUCAACAGAGUGUCCUUUGAUGCUUUGUGCCUAACAUAAACUGUUUCCACGGUGACGGGAAAAAAAAAUGUAUGGGUUAGUUUCUAGGCUCCUUCCAAUUUUCAUUAGAGUAGAACUCUUGCUUUUAUCCUAGGCUAAAAUUUUAGAGCAAUGCUUCUUGUAUACUUAUUAUAGACUAAGUAUGAUAUUUAUAUUUUAUUCAUUUAAAUUUCAUUAUUUUUCUACAAAUUUUUUAAAUAUUAGAAACCUAUAUAUAUUGUUUUAAUGCUGGGAUGAGAGGCAUAUAAGUUAAAAUCUAUAUAAAGAUGCAUAGAUAGGAUUUUUCCCCAACUUUAAAGCUCAUCAAAAGGAGACAUUUUAGCCCUCCACUUUUUCUUUUUUCAAAAAGAAAAGAACCAAUUGACAAUUGACAAUAUAUCACUACAAGUUUAGAAUAUUAAAUAUAAAAUAUUUUAUGUAUUUCUACGAACUUUGUAAAUUAGCAAAUAUAGUUAAUCGCAAAUAUAUUUAUUAACUAGUUAAAUGGCAUCAUAUUUUAGUUAAAAAAAAUUUAUUUAUUUAUCUGCUUCAUCGUUUUUAUUGACUCCGCAAUCGAAAAUAUUAUAGAAGAAAAAGAAAAUAGAUCAAACCGUCAUAAUUUAUCGAUAAAAAGCAACAAAGCUUGAUCUCGCUAGUCAUUAUAUUAGUUAGUAUACGAUGAGUUUUAACUAGCUCUAUAAAUUUUUAAGAUUUACAUGAUUAUAUAAAAUAUUUUAAAAAGUAGACAAAUUAAUAUACAAUAUCCUUAUUUUGCAGGGAUAUGCAUGCAAUUAUUAAUGUAGUGUCAUUGAUUAACAGCUGUCCUUUUUUUUGGCUUUAAAGAAAACAAAAAUUUAUUGUCAUAUAAAGCAAAUAGAUAAAGUAGCUUUUUAUGCCCUAGCCUAUUUUCUUCUUUCUUUUCUUUUCUUUUCUUUUUUUUUGACAGAUAAAUAGCAUGUUACCUGCUUUGCUUAUUUUAUUUAGAAAUAAACUUAGCUGGAAAUGUGAAUCAAUCAGGAUUCGAACUUAGAACCUCGGGUACCAACCAUCACGUCCUUUGCCAUUUACGCUAGGGACGAUCGGUUGCCCUAGCCUAUUUUCAUCUUCCAUUAGUGCAUUAUAAGUAUUUGUUUGACUAAAGUUGACACAAUACUUUUUUCUAAAAAUAUUUGUUCAUUAUGUAGCCUAACUUCAUACUUUACUUUGAGCUAUUAGUAAUUUUUGAUACAGUAUUUGUUAAGCAGAAUAGUUUGAUCGUUUUAAGUAUAGCACAUACACUAAAAAAAAAAAUUGUUGAAAUAAUUUGAAAAUAAUGUGGCAGCUAAAAUCACAAUUUAUGCUAUGAAAUGUUUUAAAAAUUUAAAGUACUUAUAAUCUUUCUUUCUUUAAUAAUAUAAAAUUAUAGUUGUGGUUACCGGCGGAGAAAUAUGUUGUCGUACAUGUGAGAUAUGUAACUUUAUUAAUAUAUAUAUAUAUAUAUAUAUACACUAUACCAGAAAUAUUCGUGAAAAUGAUCUAUUAUUAUCAAGUUUAUUUGUAGCAUAAGGUUAUGAGAAUAGUAUAAAUGGGUUGUUUAUUGAAUAAAAUGAUAUAAGGAUAAAUUCAUAUCCAAUGCUGGCUACGGUAGCCAGUUAGUUAGAAAAUUUGCUGUUGCAAAAGUUUCGACCCAAAAAUGUUUUCGCGCAUCAGCUUCAUUAACAUGGCUAAUCUGAGUUCCACUGCAUGCCUUUGUUUGCGUUCAGCAACACUAUUCUGUUAUGGUGUUCCGGAUAUAAAUUACAUUACUUGAUCAGUUCUGAAAUUAUCAAAUCCGACGAGUUAAUUAAGCUUGAGCAUUAUAUUUGCUCUUCUGUGAUGCUUCUGUGCUUCUGGCAAUUAAGAAUAACCACUAAUGGGUUAGAAACCAUUUGCUGCACCAGUUAUGGGUUAUGUCUAAUCCUGUACCAGAUCCUACCCAUUAACACCCCUUUUGUUACAUGCUUUCAUCUUUUGAUACCUGAUUCUACAACACAUGAGCUUACAUUGCUUACAAUCUUAUUAUGAUUUACCAACUGAGGUGAAAGACACAUUAACGAACUAUAUUCAAAAGUUUAAUCUCAUUCGCUCAUUAAGCGAUGGAUGAGAUUAAGCCCUUCAUAUUUAAUUCGUCAGCGUAUCUUUCACUUGAGUCAGACACACAUUGUAUCUAUUUAUCGAUCUAUCACAGGUAAACGGUUUAUUUGUACUCGCUGGUAUCGGGCACCUGCAUUUCGGCCCCCCACCCGUCCUCGACGGCGGGGGCGGGCGGCAUGAUGCGCUUCCAGAGCCAGUGCCGCCUCCAGAGCAGCACCAUCUCCUCGAUCGGGAUGCCCUUCGUCUCCGGCAGAAAGACGUAGACGAACACCGUCAUGAUGGUGAUCCAGCCCGCGAAGAAGAGGAAGAUGCCGAACUUGAGGUUGCAGAGGAGGGAGAGGAACGCCUGCGCGAUCACGAAGGUGAAGAAGAGGUUGACGGCCACCGUGAUGCUCUGCCCGGCCGACCGCGUCUCCAGCGGGAAGAUCUCGCUCGGCACCGUCCACCCCAGCGGGCCCCACGACCACCCGAACGCCGCCACGAAGAGGCACACCACGACGACGACGAUGAUCGAGAACUCCUUCGACAGAUGCUUGUCGUUGCCGAAUUUCAGGCCCAGGAUGACAGCCACUAUGACCUGUUCCACAAAGUCGACGCCGAGUUCAGUCUGUCUUUGGAUUCUGAUACAGUUCUUGCUCAGUAGAGAGCUGUCAGGACAAAGUUACUGAUAACUUUAUCCAUCAAGAUCCACAAAAUGCUUUCUGAUCCAGUUAGAAGCAGAAUAUAAAAGCAAUUCACUGAUCCUACUAAAGCCAAAACCUGAAAUGAGCUUGAAAAUUUGAAUUCUAGCAGUUUUAAAAACCUCUAAUUCGAAGCUCCUAUUUCUAGCUGCCUCAUGCAAGAACUACAAGAAGUACUUAUCGCGGUGGCGGCGACCAUAAAUUUUCUUGAAAUUGAAGCUUCUGCUUUUAGAUAUAAACAUGUCCUGUUUCUUUAUGUCCUGACACAAAAAUUUACCUGACAUAUGAUCAUCUGAAUGCCGCCGCUUAUGAGCAGUACCCUCCGUCCCCACCGAUCGACGGUGGCGAUCGAGAUGAGCGUCGACAAGGCGAGCACGGCCCCUGUCAUGACCGACGAAUACAGCGACGCGUUCCCUCCAAAGCCCAUGCUCUGGAACAGCACGGGCGCGUAGAACAAUAUGGAGUUGAUCCCCGUGAGUAUCUGAAACGUCGGCAUGAAUAUCGCCAUCACGAGUUGUGGCCGGUUCCUCGCUUCUAGAAUGUUUCUGAUAUAAAACAACUGGUUACUCUAAAAACUUCGCUAGAUUUCUUAUGAUGUCGUGUAAAAUAACUGGUUAUUCUUGAAGCUUAGGCUGAUAGAGAGCGAUGCAUGACUAUUUAUUUUGUAGCAGCGAACACCUGAAAGGGUGCUUGAUGGAGUUUGCGAGCUCGCUCGCCUCGAUCAUGUCUUGGAACUCAGCCUCCACAUCGGCAGUGCCUCUGAUCCGUUCUAGGAUGCGGCGUCCCUCCUCGACACGGCCCUGCUCGAUGAGGCUGUUGGGGGUCUCCGGGAGGAGGAAGCCGCCGACGGUCAUCAGAAAAGCCGGGGCAGCCGCAAGGCCUAGGGAGAGACGCCACCCCCACGGCUUGAUCUUCCCGGUGCCGUAGUUGAUCAUGUUCGCGGUGAAGAUGCCGAGGGUGGUCGCGAGCUGGAACAUCAUGUUCAGGCCGCCACGAAGGUGCGCCGGUGCCAUCUCCGACAAGUAGAGUGGGACGGCCUUCAGAAAUCAAGGAAACACAUAGUUACGUGAUAAAUCUCAUGAAACGCACGUAACGAAUUUUCUAUUCAUCGCUGACAUGACUUAGCCAGACCGACUUCUGAAAUUUCUAUUCAAAUCAAAGAUUAAAAUAAGUUUUAUAUUGUUGAAGAAAUAAAGUCAUGUCAGUAGUGAGUAGAAAAUUUCUGCUAUGAUGCACAAAUAGUACCUGGUUACCGAAGCCAAUGCCGACGCCGAGCAUGAUGCGGCCCAGGAGCAGCAUGGCGAGGUUGGCGGCGGCGGCGUUGAGGGUGGCGCCGAUGAGGAAGCUGAUGCCGCCGCAGAUGAUGCUGACUCUGCGGCCGUACUUUCGGGUGACGGGGGAGGCGCCGAUGGAAGCGACGAGGCCGGCAAGAUAAAGAGAGGACGUGAAGGCGGCGAGGCCCUGGUUGUCGUACUUGCAGUAGUUGUUCUGGCUGCCGGAGUUUUUCCGGCGGUAGACCACCGGAAAGAACUUCUCCAGAAAUGGGUCCAUGGAUGUCACCCCGCCUUGCAGUAGUUCAAAUCAAAGUCAAAUGUUAGAUUAGAAAAAGAAAAAAAAAUAGUAAAUUUGAAUGUGAAUUAAAUUUGAUUUGCAUACAUGCAUGGAUGUAAAACUAUCACGUUUGUUCAUUCAUGUGAAAAUUUAAAAGUAUAAAGAGAUUUCUAAAUAUCUCUGCUUCUCUUUAUAAAUAUCUCUGCUAUAUAUAGAUACGAGAAAUUUUUCUUCAAAAGCUUAACGUAUCGACAAUAUGAUGAGAUUCGAAAUUAGACCAUCCUACUUUUAAUGUCAUAUCAAAUUAUAUGAAUAUUUAUUUUUCUUCAUAGGUUUAAGUUGCUGAAGAACGAUAUUUUUCAUAUAUAUAUAUAUAUAUAUAUAGAAUUAGGCUACUAUACUAUUAAUAGCACCAAGUUAUUGGUGCUACCAAGUUUUUGACCAUUGGAUUAAAAAAUGUGUGGCUAGGAUGAUGUGGGCCCCCAAGGGUUAAGUGGAUGGUUGGUUGAAUAGUAUGAUCUAACGGGUGAAAAUAAUCAAAAGGGUAGAUCUAACGGUAAAAAACUUGAUAGCACCAAAUACUUCGUGCUAUUAAUAGCAUACCAGCCGGACUAUAUAUAUAUAUAUAUAUAUAUAUAUAUAUAUAUAUAUAUAUAUAUAUAUUAUAUAUAUAUAUAUAUAUAUAUAUAUAUUCAGUAUGUUUUGGAUCAUCCAUAUAUACAUAUAUAUUAUUCGGUCUAAAUUUAUGGAUCUGAAAUUUUAGUUUGAGAAAUUUCUAAUAGAUUUUAUGAUAUCAUUGGCGUCAACCAUUAAUUCCAAAAGUUCGAGCUGUUAGAAAAAUAUGACUAAUUCACUUAAAGCGUAUAAACAUAGCGUCUACGAGUUUGGACUGUGACUCAGCUCAACCAACCUCUAGCUAUUUCGAACAUGACUUGGUCCAAUCCGACCUUCCGUAAUUUCGAACGUGACUUGACCUAAUCUGGCCUCUCGCCACAGGGCAAAAUGUUGGCUCUCUUAAACUAAGAGGUAUGUUAUAUGAAAAUAAAAAUUAAAGUACCUAUAAAAUUAAACGAGAUUGUUUACUUCCACUUUAUUUCUAGGGAUGGGGCAUCGCUAUUGAUAAUCGGGACGUUAAACACAAUUUAGACUAAUUGAACUUCAUAUAAACCAAAUAUUAUAAAGUUUAAGAUAUCAGUUAUCUAGUGAUCAAGAGAUAUUAAAUCGACCUUAUAUUAUUAGCCAUUAAAGCUUUAUAUGGAUGUCGGAAUAAAAUAUCAAAUAAUUAUUUAUUCAAUAUAAAAUAAUUUUUUAUAUGAUUGGAAGUAAGUAGUUUAAUUUUUUAUUUUUUAAAAAAUUUUGAUUUUAAAAAAUAACAUAUUUCACCGGCGAGACGAUUUAUAUUAUUCUAAAAAUAUAAAAUAAAAAUCAAAUAUUACAUUCAUUUUAGAUAUUUGAUUAUAUUUCUUAUUUACCAAAUACUACACAUAUUUUGAGUAAAUCUAAAAAUCAUACAAGAUAAGAUGUUUAUACAUCCAUGUGUGACAAAAAACGAUUAAUUUUGAAACCACUCGAUUAUUAAGCAAAUAUUGUGGAGAAAACUAGCUGUCUCAUUAAAAUAUCGAGCCGAAAAAUUCAACUCGUGCUCGGCUCGUUAAUAAACAAGCCGGACACGAGUUGGCCAACAAAUAAUAAGUUAAAUGGAUUAGAUUAAAUAUAUAUAAAAAAUAAAUUUAUAAAAUCUUACCAUUAGACUUUGAUCUAGUGGUUGAAAUUUUACAUACAAAUGAGUCUUUUAACUCGAUUUUAUAUUUUUUGCAAAAAAUUAAAUAAUAAAAAUAUAUAUAUAUAUAUAUUAUAUAUAAUUAUUUAUUUAUAUAUAUAAAUAUAAAUUAAAUAAAUUAUAUAAAUAUAAAAUAUAUGUAUUCGAGCUGUUAUUGAGCCAAACACGAGCAAGUUGACACCGGCUCGUAUUCGGCUCGUUUAUUAAACAAGCUGAAAAAUUCAGCUUGUUUUUGGCUCAUUUACUAAACGAGCAAUUCGAUUUCGAGCUCACUUCAAGCCAAAUACGAGUUGGCUCGCGAACAACGAGCUGGAUUGUUACCCUACUCCUAACCUGGUGGCUGGAGUGGGUGUAGAAAAUAUUCUCUAAUCUUGCAACUUUUUUUUUACUAUUAUUCAAAAACGCACACCUUAUGCAUUACACCUAAAAUUUGAUAAUUAGUAUGUGAAAUUAAAAUCUUAUUAAUUUCUAAAAUCACCAGUAGAGAUAGAUCCACUGUUUGAUUUAUAAAAAAAUUACUAUUCAAACUUUAUCUGUACUGUAUUAUUAUUAUUGCUAAUAUGGCAACAAUAUUGGAAACAACCAAAUUUAAAUAAUUAGAAAAGGUUUAGAACUGAAUUGCGAUAUUAGAAGGUUAGGGAUUCAAUUGAAACUUAAGUAAAAGAUUAGAGACCUCCAUUUAGUUUAAUUUAGUUUAAGGAAUAGCAGUGCUGUUGAAAAAAAAUAUUGUAGAAAAUAACACUGUACUAUUAAAAAAGUUGUAGAACAUUUGGCUAUUUUUGUAAAAAUAUUAUGGAAAUUAAGUUGUUUGGUGAUAACUGUAAUAAUAAUUAUUAUAAACUAGUAAAAAAUGUAUUAAAAAAUAUAAAUUUAAUUUAGUGGUCCGAUUAGUUAUUUUCUAACAACAAUUUAAAAUUAAAAUUUAAAUGCAUUGGAGUUUAAAUUUGAAAUUAAAAAAUUAAUUUUAUAUCUAAAUUGAAUUUAAAAUCGAAAUUCAGAUUCACAUAUAUAUUUGAAAUUCAAAAUAAAAAAUUAAAAUUAAAAAUAGAAAUAAAAUUUAAAUUCCAAAAUAAAAUACUUAAAUUUAAAAUUUGAAUCCAAAAUAAAAAUUUACAUUUAAAAUUUGAAUCCAAAAUCAAAAAUUACAUUUAAAAUUUGAAUCCAAAAUCAAAUUUAAUAAACUUCAAAAUCAGAAUUUUAAUUUGAAAUUAGUAUAUAUCAAAUUUAAAUUAAAAAUAUUUAACAAUAAAUUUUAAAAUUUAAUUUAAUAUGUGAUUUAGUUUUAGAAUUUAAGUAUAAAUAUAAAUAUAAAUUUUAUUAAUUUUAGAUUAAAAAAAACAAACUUCUCAAAAAUAAAUUGGGGAACAAGAUAAAAAAAAACUUGUAAAUAUUGUGGACAAACAUUAUUAUUAAUCUAAAUUUCUACCGUAAAACAAGAAUUUAAGUUCCUAUCAGUACAAGCUAUAUCUAAUAUGCCGUAUCGCGCCAACAAAAUAUUACACAAUAUAGUCUCUGUGCCGAUAGCACAGCUCAAAACUUUUUAUUCCUUAAAUUAGUAGGUAGUUUUCUCAAUAAAAUUCAAAAUAUUUGAUAAAAAUAUAUAAUAAAUAGUUAUAAUAUUUUAUUACGAAAGAAAAUGAAUAUUUCAUGUUAUUAUAUAUCGGCAUACAUAUAUUUUUGAUGACCGAUACACAUCGAUACGGUCCAACACGCACCAUAUCGUGACUUGCCAGAAAAUUUAUAGCAUAACUCUAUAUCACGGCACUUAAAUUUUUGCUGUAAAAGCUCUGGCAAUAGAGCAUCUAGGAUCGAAAGGCGGUAGGGUGGAGAACGCAAUUUUUUAUAUUCACUCUCUCCGCCAAAUGCUCUCCAUUGGAGAAUAGUCCAUUGAAGUCAGGCCAAACAGGUACUUAGAAAGUCUUAGAACGUUUUUAAAAUGCAAAGCAUUUUCCAUUAAGAAAAUAGGUCAGGUAUAUGAGAGUCAGAGUGACUAUCUCAUGCUAACCACUAGUGGCUAAAAAUUAAAAAUGAUCUCAUUUUGUCACACAUUAAAGAUGCUAGAUCUUUUGUCUUUUUCCUUGCUUCCUUAAGUAAUUUUGCCUAUGUGACUUACUAAUUACUAGUAGAUAUAUUAAUGUACAUCUCAUCAGUUGUGUACUACACUAAUUUAUAUCUUUUAAUAUUUAAAUUUGCAGUUUCCAUUCAACCAUUCUAAGUCAAAUGUAUUUGUUUAAACAUGUAACAUCUAAAUGGCUUAGAUUUAAAGAUAUGAUGACAUUAAAAAACGAUGAGUUUGGAGCAAUUGCUUAUAUAUCUCUGAAAAAUUUUCGACUUUCUAAUUUACCUCUCUUAAAAGGUUAAUAUUAAAAAUACCAUUUUUACAUUCCAAAUUAUAAAGUUAAAUUCAAUUAGCAAUAGCCGUUAUACCUAUGAAAUUACUAUUUUACCCUUUCAAAUAUACACUUCUUCCAUCACUAAUUUUUCUUAUUUGUCUAAGUUAGAGGUAAAUUUUGUUAGCAAUAGCAGUUAUCUCUGUGAAAUUACUACUUUGCCCUAAAAAGUAUUUUAAUUUUUGAUCUUUUCAAAUAUACUAAAUUUUUUUAUUUGCUCUUAAGUUAAGAAUAAAAGAGGUAUAUUGAUUAUUUUUUAACUCUUGCUAGAAAUUUAACUCACGAAAUAACUUAACGGGUGGUAACUAUAGGAGUAUUUUUGAAUAACGAAAAAAUAUAUAAGAAAUAUAUUGGAAACAAAAAAAAUAAAAAUAAAUUAGAUAUUUUUGAAAUUUUAAGAAAUAUAUAUAUAGAGAAUUAUUCCUUGAAAUUAUCUAGAAGCCAAAUCGCUUGUGGUAAGAUAUCCUCCCAAAGUUAAUCCGAAGUGUGCGUAAAUUUGAGGUUGACCCUCGAAUUUUAUAUAAUUAAGUUUCGGGAUUUUAUGAUUUUCUUUUUUUAUUAUUUUGGACUCUGAAACCCAUGGACUGUUUAAAACUUAAUUAAAAUGAAAAAUUAAAAUGAGGCUCGCAUUUACAUGCUACAUGUCACUUUGGGGUGAAUUCAAAGAGUUGACGAGUCCCUUCCCUUCAAAAUAAUUACUAGUUUUAAACAUAUAAUUUUGACAGAUUUUUUAAAUUUCUAAAUUCAAAAAGAAAAAGCUUUUUCUUUUCAUUGGAAGCUCGAAUAAAUGAGGAAAGAGAGCAUUCCGAGGGUGUUUGGUUUCUCAAAAAAUUCUAUAAAAUUAUAUUUUGCAAAAAAAAUAACUUUUUUUUUUAAUAAUUUUUGUUCUCCAGAUAAAAAAUCUAAAAAAUAAAAAUAAAACUUUUUCAUAAACUCAAAAGAAUUCUAAAAAACUAUUCUUUAAAAAAAACUAAACAACCUUUUCAACUGAAAAUACCUACUCUUUAAAAGGCUCCACAAGUACCAAUGUUUAUUACCACCAAUUAAUGAGCUUAAAAAAAUAAUAACAACCAUAAUUAAUGUGUACAGAGUGAAAGAUUUUAGAACGUAGUUAUACUGGUGAUAAGACUGUCUCCAACCAAUCAAAUGAAUCUUUUUUUAGUUAAUCUAUAAUAUUAUAAUUAUAUAAAAAUAUUUUUAUUAUAUAUAUAUUUUUAAAAGGAGUGAUGCGAUCGAUUUAUUAUUACUGAUGUAGUUUAAGUGCGUGCAAUUCUUAAAACUAAUGGAAAAGUAAAAAACGAAAAAUAAAAAAGCAGCGAUUGUGUCAUUGUGACAACCAUAAACCGCCAAACUCAAGGAAGUCUGUCGCACUAAUGCGACAGUAACGUCUACCCCCAAGCGCACUCCGUUCACACCACCUACCUCUAUAAAAAUAUCCCCAAUUAUUCAGAAUCUAAAAUUUAGUUCUUUACAUCAAUUAAAGAACUCUUAUCUUAUAAUGAAUGAUGCAUUUUACUAUCCGUGCUGCUUGAAGAUUCGAAUUUUUUCUUUGUUUUUUUUUUUUUUUUGUAGAUUAAUUAAAGGGAAGUAGGUAGGUAGGUACCAGAUAUGCCGAUGUCGUAGCCGAAGAUGGAGCCUCCGACGGCGGCGACGAUGCAGGCCAUGACGACGAACGGCGUCACCCGCCCUUUGUACUGCGCCGCCCGCUCCUUCUUGAUUCCGAUCGGCGCGGCCCCUCCGCCCGCCAUCUCUUCUUCUUCUUCUUCUCCUCCCCUUCACCAAAAAUUCUCAACAAACCCAAUUAAACUCGAUCUCUAGCUAAUUAACACUCACUACAAAUUAAUAACAAGUAUACGUGUAUAUAUAUAUAUAAAGCUGGAUAUAUCAUGAACUAAUAAUUAAGAACUCUCGUUGACCCAGCUUUUUUUUUUUUUUCCCUGGCUUUCUCUCUCUUCUCUUGAAUAUAUAUAUAUAUAUAUAUAUAUAUNGGGGUGAGAGAGAGAGAGAGAGAGAGAGAGAGAGAGAGAGGGGGAGGAGAGCAUUAAAUAGCGAUCGAGUAAGUUGGGAACGCAGAGCACAUGGACAAUUCCGGCUUUGUCCGGCUGUUGGCCUUUUUCUUUUUCCUUUUAAGUUGGAUUUUUUUAAAAAAUAAAAACUCAGAAGUGGGAUGUGGAAUUGUGGAUGAGAAGGAGACGUCACCCACAGCAAAUUAAGCACGGAAAGGUGUAUAAUAUACACUCUCUUGUUCUAACAUAUAGAAAACAAGUUUUUCUUAAUAAAAAUUUAGGUAAACUUCAAAUGCUAUCAUGUGAUUUCGCACUUUUCUAUUUUAAUAUUUUAUAAUAAUUUAAAGUGUACCAAAUUUAUAUCACGUGGUUUCAUUUUUAUCUUUUCGUCAGCUUUUUCGUUAAUAUUUCGUUAAAUUAUAUACAAAAAAUUUCAGAUACUCCAUCUAAAUUUAUUGAAUAUUUACUUUAGCACCUUUUAGUUUUAACUUGUCACUGAUUUAACGAAAAUAAUUAGUGAAAUCGAUAAUAAAAUGAUAAAAAUAAAAUCACAGAGCACUAAAUUGAUACACUUUAAACCAUAAAAUACUGAAGUGAAAAAAUGUGUACGUAACUACAGAAGUGGUAUUCGAAGUUUUCCCUAAAAGCUUGUUUGUGGAUCUCUUUACAUGCAACCAAAUACUCAGAGAAAGCGAAAUGAAUUAGAUUUUUUUUUUUUCCUCCUCUAUGGUAUAUUAUUGGUUGGAAUAAAUGGCGUUCGAGCCUUAAUAAAAUUUUAUAUAUAGCAUUGGAGGAGGCAUCAAUCCCAUAUAACCAUUUUGGGUUAAAUAUUUUAUAAUUAUCAAAACUUUCGUCGGGUUACAGGAAACCACCUAAUAUUUUAAAAGUUCAUAUGUACAGUCCGAAGUUUUAAAAUAUUAUAAUUAGUUCAUACUUCAUCAAUCUAAAGUGAUCAAUAUUAGCCAAUCACACAAGAAAUAACAAAAAAUACAUACCAGUGAUAUAGAUAAGCUUUUUUAUAUCAAAUAUAAUUGCUUUUUUUUUUUUUUUUUUUUAGAGAGAGAGAUUAAAAAAAAUGCUAAAUUAUAGAAAACUCUCAUGUCAAAAUUCGAUUUUUCACUUUUUCCCCCCUGUCAUUUAAAAACUUACAGUUUGCCCCCUUGUGAAAUAAAAAAUAUUCAUUUUACCCCCUACCGUCAGUGAUCCGUUAGGAUUCCGUUAUAAAAUAUUUUUUAUGCCAAAAAUACCCUCCGCCUUCUCUAUUGUGUUUCGCCCUCUUCCGCCUCACCGCCUCGCCCUCCUCCGCCUCACCGCCUCGCCCUCCUCCACUGUCUCGCCCUCGCCCACAUCUCCGUCCGCGCCCACAAACACCCUUCGCCCUCCUCUGCCGCCUCGCCUUCGCCCUCGUUGCCCUUGCCCACCUUUCCAUCCAUGCCCACCUCGAUCGAUUUCCUCUCCACUGUCGCCGAAAUGGAGGGGCGACGAGGGUGCAGGAGGAGAAGGGAAGCAGGUGGAGAAGAAAAUGGAGAGGAACAGCGACUGAUCGAGACGCGAAUCGCGGCUGAUCGAGGCGGCGGAUGAACAAGAUGAGAGAGGAGACGAAAAUGAUGAGGGGCAAAAUAAUCAUUUUAUCAUCACAGUUCACACAGUACCCCCUGUGAAUAUUUUUAUUUUACAAUAAGGCAAAAUAUAAGUUUUUAAAUGACAGAAGAAAAAAGUGAAAAAUAAAAUUUUGACAAGAAAAUUUUAUAUAAUUUAGCCGGAAAAAAAGGGGUAGAAAUAAGAUACUAGUAGGCCCACUGACAUUUGCUAUCAAUAUCACCCAUGUCUUUCUUUAUCUUCCAAUCUCUAUCACCCCCAGAAUUCAAACUCAAUCUAUGCACAUCAGUUUGCCAAGUAAUUCAAAAAACAACCAAAGCCACAAAUUAGAAUUUAAGCAUACUUGGCAAAAUGAGGAGCAUCAAUUACUUCAAGUACUUAAUAUGCAUCUAAUAAAAUGAAGAAUUUCUGUUCUCAACGAUUGUGCCUAGCGUAGUUGGCCAAGACAGAAGUCCAAUUGUUUUACAUUUAUCGUUCUCUUUCAAUAAAAAAAAAAAAAAAAAUCUAAUCUCUCCUCUUGUCUACAUUUAAUUUGAGAAAGCAUCUGCAAAGUCAAUGAGUCGGUUUCGCAACAACAAUUUUAACAGUAAACUAGCAGAAGUUAGCUCCAAGGGUAUAAGAAAGAACUUAGAACUUUAAACGGACAGAUUUCAUUACUUUACGUGAAAAAGAAUUCGGAAACUAAGUCAAUAGUUAUUCUAGCAUGCAUUUUGCCCCAAGAAUUUGAAAACAAGGGCAAAAGAGGAGCACCCCACAGAGAAUAAUAUUCUGUACUUUUUUUAAGGAUUAAUUUCAUAUAGGUCCCUCAAAAUAUAAUGAAUUACAAAUGUAUCCCUAUAAAGUUCAAUUUUUAUAUGUUGAUUUUACAAAAAUCCUAAUUUUUCAAAUAUAUCCUUGUCGUUAUGAUUCGUUAGAAAAAAUUAAUUAACCAUAGGUAAAUUAAGGUUUAAAGUGCCGUGGCACGGGGGCGUGCUGCUAUCUACCUGACACGGUACGGCGCCGGCACGCUUCCAUACCGACCAUGAUACGCUUGUGUGGCGAUGGAUAUAUACGACCUUCUACUGGUACGCUUUGGCAUGGACUUAUUUCAGUUUUUUUAGUUUCAAUAAGCUCUUAUAAUAUUAUUUGAAAAGAUUUAAUCAAAUAAUUAUAAAUAUUUGUUAUAUAUAACUUACUAUACUCAUUAAUUAAUAUAUUUGUAAAUUUUUUUGUAUGUAAAGUAUAAUUAUAUCUGAUACAGAAUAGAAAUUUUUAUAUGUUAAAUUUUUAAAAUGUAAAGACAUUUUUUUUUCUUUUUUUCUUUUAACCAUAUUACAGUUUUUCUUUUAUAAAAUACAAAAAAAAAAAUUUAAAAAUUAUUUUUAAAAAUUAUUUUAAAAAGUAUUUGAAAAAAAUUAUUUUUUUAAUUAAUUUUAAAAAAAUUAGUAGAUCUAUCAAAAAAAUUAAGUAAUAUGGUUUAAGCAUCAAUUGAUUUAAUUUAACUUUUAAUUUUUUCAGUAAUUUUAAUUUUCUAGCGCAAAAAUAAAAUUUUAUAUUUGAUGUGACUCAAAAUUUGUUUAUUGAGUUCGAUUUUGUUCCCUUAAUUCGCCUUAUUUGUGAAGAAAAAAUACAUAUCUGUGGUGAAAGCGGAGGGUUCAGACAAAUUUUUUGUCCGUAUAUUGAUAAACAAAAAAAAAUUAAAUUAUAACUUUUUUAACUUACCUAAUAAGUAAAUUUUAAUUUGCAAUAUCUUUGGGGGACGUAGAGUACCCAGAAUGUUUUGAAUAUCCCAAAGAACAAAAUAAAAAAAAAUAUUAAAAAAAAAGUAAAAAAAAUAUUAGCACAGUGCCGUGCCGGCACUGUGCCGUGGCACGCUGCCUCGUGCCACUCUGUCUCGUGCGGCACAGCGCUGUGUACUGCAACACGGAGGGGGGUCCGUGACCCCUACCCUCCUGUACCGUGCCACCUUCUUGGUGGCACAGAACGCACCGCCCCGUGCCGUACCACACGGUACAACACUUUAAACCUUGGGUAAAAUACUUAAUCCUUGCUAGUUAAUGAGGUGUACCUCUUCACCCCUUUUCAAUUAACAGUUGAGACUUUUGGAAGGUCAUAUUUGUGAUGGCAAAAAAGUCAUUUCACUUAUAAAAUAAACAGUUCUUUAAUGAUAACAAAUAUUUGAAAGUAUUAAGAUUUUUAUAAGGACAACAUAUAAAAAUUAAACUUUGUAAGAAUAUAUUUGUAAUUUAUUAAGUUUACAGAGAUCUGUAUAAAAUUAACUUUUUUUUAAAUAUUGCUCCUCUUUCCAAACCAUAGAAAGUGACUGGUUUGAAUGUUUUGUAGGCAUUUGACUUCAUUAGUAUAUUUGGUAGAUUCAUUGUUAGAAAUUCUCCUUAAAAUGGAUAGAAAAAGCCCCAAGUUACCAUAAAAGAAUAUAUGGUUUACAGCUGAUCCAGCAAUGCUUUUAUUAAUUAAUUAGACUAGCAUGUGGAGAUUGUUGAGCCCAGGAAGUAUGCGAAGAGACUUAUUCUACACAUCACUACUCUCUCUCUCUCUACUUAUACUAGAACAUAUUGUAAUGAAUUUAUUAUGGCAAAAGUGAGAGAUGAGUUUAUUAAAGUCGAAGAUGAAGAACAAAAUCGCACACCAGGUUUAAGUCCACGGAGGGUCACUUAAUUCCUAUAGUAGUAUGAUCAACAUCAAUGAUUCGGUCGAUCAGAUUAUUUGGAUGCAUAAACAUCUCUAUUAUCGAGUUGAGCUCUUGUGCUUUUCAAUAAGCUCAUGAGUUUAACGUAUUUAUAAUUUGUUAAUCUUCGGAUGGCCUCAAAAUCUGUGCAAACUACUAGUAAAUGAGACUUACUGGUACACACCGUUAAUAGCACUGAAUGAAUCUUGAAACGAUCCGGUGGCUGAAAGGUUACAAGCACAAAUGCUUCUGUACUUUCAAAAGCACAUGAGCUCAAUUCUCUUUUAACAAAUUCAUUUUGUUUGCUCGAAAGAGUUGCUUGAUAGAAUGUAUAAAAAAAAGUACACAAGCGUAUAAUACAUUUCUAAGUGUUUUUUUUCCCUCAAAAAUACGAUAAAUUAGUUCAUAGGUUGAACACUUAUUGUGGAAGAUCAAGUUUAACCUCUUAUUUUGUAAUUACAAUAAAAAAAAAAUCUCACAUAUUGCAAUUUUAGUGGAUUAUAGGGGUGGAAACGAGCCGAGCUCGAGCGAGCUUACCUUGGCUCAAAUUCGGCUUGAAAUUAAUUUCGAGCAUAAAUUUAAGCUCAAGCUUGGAUUGAAAUUAAUUCGAGCUGAGCUCGAGCGAGCCUAAUUUCGAGUCGAACGAGCUCGAGCCCUAAACGAGUCGCUUGAAAUUCUCAACAUCAUACGAUCAAUAGUUUAAUUUGUAUAGAAUAUUAUCUAUAAUUUGAUACAAAAAUAUAUCUAAUAGUUUAAAGUACAAAAUAAUUAUAUAAAAUAUAGUAUUAUAAUAUGAAGAAAAAUAAUUUAUGAGUUGAAUACUUAAUCUUUUCAGGCUCACAUGUCUUCUCUUCCGCAUUCAAUUUUCAUAUUAUUCAUUUUUAUUUAUGCAAUCAAAAAUAAAUAAAUUAUAUAAAUAAAUAUUGGAUUAAACUAUCCAAUUAUAUAUAACUAAAAUUAAAAUUUUAUAUAAAUAAUAACUUUUUACUUUAAAAAUAUUCUGUAUAUUUUCUCAAGCAUACAAUUAAUAGAAAGGUAAGCAACGACGGGCAUAUACUGUUUUUUUUUUUAGAGAUAGGUAGCACGCUACCCGCUUCGUUUAUUUCAUUUAGAAAUAAACUUAACUGAAAAUAUGAAUCAACUAGGAUUCGAACUUGGGUCUCAGGUACCAACCAUCAAGCCCUUUGCCACUUGCUCUACGGCGAGCAUAUACUAUUAUUUGGUAACUUGAAGGGCUUCCAGCUUGGCUACUUAGGGUGAGAGACAGGAAAAAAGAAAGAGAAAAACAUAUUGAAAUUUUAGAACUCUGUGAAAGAAAGAAAGAAAAUAAAAAUGUAUAAAUUUAAUGAAAUUUUGCUCUUUUAUUUGUCGAUUGGAUUUGUUUUUAUGGGCCAACAACAUUGGUUCAAUUUUAACUAAACUCAGGUUAACCACCCACUCAAUCUUAGAGGACCAUUAUCAUUCUAAUUGCGCAUCUUUUCAUCCAACGGCCAAAAACUCAAUAGUACCAAGGACUUGAUACUAUUGAUAGUAUAGCAGCAUAAUUCUAUAUAUAUAUAAAAUAUAUAUAUUAUAUAUAUAUAUAAUAUUAUAUAUAAUAUAAUAUAUAUAUAGCGAGAGAGAGAGAAAGGAGAAGAUGGAUGAGAAGAGAGAGAGAGAAGUGGUGAUCUACUAUGUACGAAGCACGCGAGUGGCUACCUGUUCCACCUGUUUUUCGAAUGUUUGCGUACUUUCACAUCGAUCGAUCUGCCUCCUGUUAAACUUGAUCUAGAGUAUUUGAAGUACCCUUAGAAAAUAAAUUUUAUAUUUUACGAUAUAUUUUGCCUACUUGAAUCGAACGGGACUCAAAAUAACGGCUGAGGAAAUAAAAAUAGACCCAAAUAUAAUAAUAUGACAUAAAUUUUAAAUCAAAGAUAUGUUGAUCUUUUUUUAUUAUAUAAAAAUUUCUAUCAAAUUUCACGUGAUUGGAUUAUUUAUACACCGUUUAAACUUGCAAACGGCUCACUUACGGCCAUUGAAUUUUGUUGAUUUGUGAGCACUUCAUCAUAAGUACAUGAUAUCGAAAAAAUAUAAAAUUAAUUUUUACGUUACGUCUAACAUAUCUAGAGUCAAUUUAAACGGAAGCUCGCGACGAUUUGAAAGUCGCCAACAUUUGAAACGAGAUGGAAGCACGGAAGACUCCGUGCUUCCGAUAGAUAUGUGCCCACUCUAUUAUAUAUAUAUAUAUAAUAUAUAUAUAUAUAUAUAUAGUGUAGAACUACUAUUCUAUAUAUGUAGAACUAUUAUGCUAUCGAAAAUAUAGAGGAUUUGAUGUUUCCGAAUUUUUGACUCUUUGAUUAAAAAUUGUAUGGUUGGGAUGAUUGCGGUCCCCCCUAAGAUUAAAUAAUACCCCUAUGAUUGAGUGGUCCCUGCAAGGUAAUAAUAGUAUUAAUCCAAAGAUAAGAAAUGAUUAAAGGGGUUGAUCUAAGAAUCAAAAAAUCGAAAGCACCAAAUCCUCUAUACUUUCGAUAACAUAGUAGCUCUACUAUAUAUAUAUAUAUAUAUAUAGAAUUAGGCUGGAAUACUAUUAAUAGUAAAACGCUCUUUUUGCUAUCAAGUUUUUAACCCAUUGGAUGAAAAAUUGUAGGAUCAGGAUGAUAUUAGUCGGUUAGAGUUGAGUGGUCCCCCUAGGGUUGAGUGGUCCCCACUGGGUUAUAGUAUUUAAUCCAAUGGUUAGAAAUAAUGAAAAGAGCUGAUCCAAAGGCUAAAAAACUGAUAGCAACAAUGGUAUAUUCGAGCAUUUCGAGCUUUUCGAGCCUAAUUCGAACGAGCCGAGUAAUACUCAAGCUUGGCUUGAAAUGAAUUUCAAGUCUUUUUUUUUUGUUCAAGCUCGACUUAUUUAAUUUCGAGUCGAGCUCGAGCGAGCCAAAUAUCGAGUCGAAUGCGAGUCGAACGCGAACCGGCUUGCUCAUUUGCCAGCCCUAGUGGAUUACCUGUUCCGAUAACCAAACAGGCCCUGAGAUGAAUAUAGACUAACAAAUUAUAAGGCCUGUAUAUAUGCAUGUAGAAAUUAUUAAAGCAUGUAAUAACUAAGCUAUAUAAUAACUUUGAUUACAUGACUUAUUAGAGCAACAUUUUAUAAUUGUCUAUAACUGAUUUAAUAUUUGAAUAAUUGUCUUAUAUUACUAGAAUUUUUCUUUCCUUUGAGCCGUAUAGUCUGUAAUAUUUAAAAAGGCUUAAUCUUCUAUUGAAUAUGAUCAAGCCUUAAGCAUACAUGCUUUAAGAGUCCGGCUAUUACACUCUUAUAAGUACAAUCACUUUCAUACUUACAAAUCGUUUUUUAUAAUAUAGCUUCCAAAUCGACGGUCCAUACCGUUAAUCAUUAUCUAGAUCAUUCGAAACUUCUAGAAAUCAAAUUUUAUAAUUUUUUAACAUCAUUUACCUUACGAUCAGAAGAUCUUAAAAUUAAUAAUUUUUAACAAUCGGUAUAGAAUACUUGCUAGUUUAACGGUGUAAAAAAAAACGAAAUCAAUUGAAUUUUUGAUAGAAAAUUCUAUUAACUAUCUAGAUAAAGAUCAAUAACUCCGAUCUUAAAUUGAAGUAUAUAAUCCUUUAUUUUUAGAAAGUCGUUUAAUUUUGAUUGUUCAUUUUAUGCCCGCUUGAUGAACUUUACUAUAAUUUUAAAAAAAUUAUGAAAUUUAUUUUCUAUAAAUUUUAAACGCACUAGAUUAUAUUUAACGGUAUGGAUCAUCAAUUCGAAAACUCUUUUAUUAAAAAUAACUUAUCGUACGAAGGGCUUUAUACUCAUAAGAGUAUAAUAGUCCUACUCCAAACUUUAAUUUCACGACAUUAGAGCCUACUAAAUAAUACAAAACAACUGUUAUUCUCUAAAAUAUAUUUAAUAUUUAACACCCCCCACACUCGGGAUCGAGACUUUUUGACGAGCCAAUAACGUGGACUUGAAUUAAAUAGGAGGAAAUAAAUUAUAUUAGGAGUUAGAUGUGACUCGAACUCAGAAUCUCUUGCUGUGAUAUCAUAUUAAAUAAUACGAAAUAACCGUUAUCCUUAAAAAAUUUAAACUAGUAAAGAACGUAUUUUUAUAUUUUUAUAUUUUUAUAUUUAACGGAGCCGAAGCAGCCAAAAAAUUCUAUUCAA
Molecule: long non-coding RNA, 74487 nt
Filed under: Ananas comosus (pineapple)
Lineage: Eukaryota; Viridiplantae; Streptophyta; Magnoliopsida; Poales; Bromeliaceae
Description: long non-coding RNA (ACOM_LNC002980)
Source: RNAcentral